This 46350-nucleotide long non-coding RNA is filed under the name Hordeum vulgare. RNAcentral's name for it is "long non-coding RNA (HVUL_LNC017615)". The stretch from base 41597 to 41721 matches the Rfam family "MIR1120/MIR1122 microRNA precursor family". The record is from RNAcentral. Lineage: Eukaryota; Viridiplantae; Streptophyta; Magnoliopsida; Poales; Poaceae.
GUGGGCACUGCGGCGGCGACGGUGGCGACGGCCGCGGCCUUGGCUCCGGCCAUGGCAGCCUCUGCAGUUACCAAUCAACACAGGCGUGUUAGUUUGGGUCUAGUUCCAGGCUUUCAGUAGACAGGACUGCACAUAACUGCAAUGCACUCCUAGAAUAGAACGGCGAGAGCAUUGCCGGCACAGUGAACCGGCGGGGCAUCAUAUCGUUUUGGUUACCUCUGGAGCAGCGCUUGGCUGCGGCGAGCCUCUGGUCGAGGUAGGCGCCGGUCACCGUAGACAUCUUCGCCGGAGCAAAGCUUGGUGGCAGGAGACCCGAAGGAAGUGAACUACUCGUGACUUCUUAGGCCCUGUUUUGUUACAAAUAAGUCACCAACUUAUAAGUUAAAAAUGCAAAAAAUGACUUAUUUUGCCAAAAGGGCCUAACUUAUAAGUCACCCUAACUUAUAAGUCAUAAGUUGCGAUACCCUAGCUUAAAACUUAUAAGUCACUUACUUUUUGAUGGGUCCCACCACCUUUUCAGCCGUGCCCACCGCCCACCCGUGCCCACCGCCCCAUCCGCUCCCCACCGCGUAGCGCGCCUCGCCGCCGCUCCCACCGCGCAGCGCGCCUUGCCGCCGCCGAGCUCCAUCCCCACCCACUGCGCAGCGCGCCUCGCCCAUCCCUCCCCACCGCGCACCGCUGCUGCCCUCGCCGCCGCUGNNNNNNNNNNNNNNNNNNNNNNNNNNNNNNNNNNNNNNNNNNNNNNNNNNNNNNNNNNNNNNNNNNNNNNNNNNNNNNNNNNNNNNNNNNNNNNNNNNNNCCUAGUGUGCCUUUUCCUGUCAGCCUACCCUCAUACCGAGAUUCGGGAACACCAAUCGGCUUAAGGUCAGGAAGAAAGUCCACACAAAACUCAAUGACCUCCUCUGUUCCAUAGCCCUUGGAGAUGCUUCCUUCUGGCCUAGCACGGUUACGAACAUAUUUCUUUAAGACUCCCAUGAACCUCUCGAAGGGGAACAUAUUGUGUAGAAACACAGGACCGAGAAUUCUAAUCUCUUCGACUAGGUCAACUAGGAGGUGUGUCAUUAUAUUGAAGAAGGAUGGCGGGAACAACAACUCAAAGCUGACCAGACAUUGGACCACAUCAAUCUGUAACCCUGAUAGACUUUCUCGAUCGAUUACCUUCUGAGAAAUUGCAUUGAGAAAUGCACAUACCUUCACAAUUGCCAGGCGAACAUUUUCCGGUAGAAUUCCCCUCAAUGCAACCGGAAGCAAUUGCGUCAUAAGCACGUGGCAGUCAUGAGACUUUAGGUUUUGGAAUUUUUUGUCUUUCAUAUUUACGAUUCCCUUUAUAUUCGACGAGAAGCCAGUCGGGACCUUGAUACUGAAAAGGACUUCAAAGAAGAUUUCCUUCUCUUCCUUAGUAAGAACGUAGCUGGCACGCCCUUGAAACUGCCCUCGAUGCAUGCCAUCUCUUCCUUUAUGACGUUCCUGGUCCUCCCGUGCUUCCGGUGUAUCUUUUGACUUCCCAUACAAGCCCAGGAAGCCUAGAAUAUUCACGCAGAGAUUCUUCGUCAGGUGCAUCACGUCGAUUGCCGAGCGGACCUCAUGGACUUCCCAGUAGGGUAGCUCCCAAAAUAUAGAUUUCUUCUUCCACAUGGGUACGCGCUUAUCAGGGCCGUUAGGAACAGGUUGGCUGCCAGGACCCUUUCCAAAGAUUACUUUUAAAUCUUUGACCAUAUCAAAUACUUCAGCACCAGUACGGAUGACAGGCUUCCCCCGGGGUUCUGCCUUGCCAUUGAAAUGCUUGCCUUUUUUCUUGAAGGGAUGCUUGGGCGGAAGAAAACAACGAUUGUACGGAUACACAUUCUUCCUACAGUUGUCGAGAUAUAUACUUUCUGUCUGAUCCAAACAGUGCGUGCAUGCAUUGUAUCCCUUGUUUGACUGACCUGAAAUGUUACUAAGAGCAGGCCAAUCAUUGAUGGUUAUGAAAAGCAACGCUCGAAGGUCAAAUUCCUCUUGUUUGUGCUCGUCCCACACACGUACACCUGGUUCGGCCCACAUCUGUAAAAGUUCAUCAACUAAUGGCCUUAGGUACACAUUAAUAUCGUUGCCGGCUUGCUUUGGACCUUGUAUAAGCACUGGCAUCAUAAUGAACUUCCGCUUCACGCACAACCAAGGAGGAAGGUUGUAGAUACAUAGAGUAACGGGCCAGGUGCUGUGACUGCAACUCUGCUCCCCAAAAGGAUUCAUGCCAUCUGUACUCAAACCUAACCAUAAGUUCCUUGCGUCAGCUGCAAAUCUCGGGAACUCUCUCUCGAUUUUUCUCCACUGCCGACCAUCAGCGGUGUGCCUCAACUUAUCGUCUUUCAUACGAUCUUCCAUGUGCCAUCACAACAACUUCGCAUGGUCUUUAUUUCUGAACAGACAUUUCAACCGUGGUAUUAUAGGAGCAUACCACAUCACCUUGGCAGGAACCCUCUUCCUGGGUGGCUCGCCCUCAAUAUCACCAGGGUCAUCUUUUCUGAUCUUAUACCGCAAUGCAGUGCAUACCGGGCAUUUAUCCAUAUUCUCGUACUUCUCACCGCGGUAGAGGAUGCAGUCAUUAGGGCAUGCAUGUAUCUUCUGCACGUCUAAUCCUAGAGGGCAGACAAGCUUCUUUGCUUCGUACGUGCUGGCGGGCAAUUCGUUCUUUCUUGGAAGCAUCUUCUUCAUCAGUACCAGCAACUUUUCGAAUGACGAGUCAGUCACACCGGUCUCUGCCUUCCACUUCAGCAAUUCCAGUGUGCUACCCAGCUUCUUCUGGCCAUCUUCACAAGUUGGGUACAACAAUUUGUUGUGGUCCUGUAACAUCUGCUCGAACUGCAACCUCUCCUUUUCUGUGUCGCAACCUCGCCGUGCAUCAGAAAUGACCCGGCCAAGAUCAUCAGCGGGCUCAUCUGGUUCCGGUUCUUCAUCCUGAUCUUCUUCUUCAUUGUCUUCCAUUGCGGUAUCAGCAUACUCAAGGAACAUAGAUUGGUAGUUGUCAUCAUCAUUCUCUUCUUCUUCUUUGUCGUCUUCCAUCAUAACCCCUCUUUCUCCGUGCUUGGUCCAAACAUUAUAGCCCGACAUAAAACCGGACCGAAGCAGGUGGCUCUGAAUGACUCUUGAGGAAGUGUAAUCCUUCUCAUUCCGACAUUCAACACAUGGACAAAACAUAUAGCCACCACCAUGCUUGUUCGCAUCGGUUGCAUCUCGAAAAGAAUGCACACCUUCUCUGGAAGCGGUUGUGCGUCGAUCACCGUACAUCCAUGGAUGGCUCAUCUCUGCGUUAUACGACAGUAUAUCAAAUACAAUCACGAUCCUAGAAAUUAGUACCGCACGGUCUAAACGAGGAAAUAUAGUUGCUAACCUUUUAGAAUAAGUAGAAAUAAAGAGGAAGAGGUUUAAGCGUGGCUCGGGCAUCUCAUAUCGUAGUUGUGUUCGGUGAACUGAAGCGGCAUCGCUCUAACACACAUUUCAACAAACACCUCUAGUGCAUCAAAAAAAGUGGAGAGCAAGCACCCACCCACAAUCCUCCAUCCAAGAAAAAUGCAACGAAGAGGGGAGAGGGGGGGCUGUGCUAUAUAUAGGCAGAGGACUUUAGUCCCGGUUUGAGACACAAACCGGGACUAAAGGUGGCGCACAUGCGGGCUGCCCACCGCGUAGCCCUUUAGUCCCGGCUUGGGACACGAACCGGGACUAAAGGCUCCUUACGGGCCGGGACUAAAGCCUCGAGGGAGGAUAUGAGAAUUGGGGCGACGUGGCCGGGCCUUUAGUCCCGGCCCAGAGGCAGGCCGGGACUAAAGGGUCCAGGCCAAAGGCCCGUUUUCUACUAGUGAGACACAUAGAGUUCACCGAGAAAUCCAUGGUUAUGACCAAGAUGAUAAUUAAGUACUGUAUGUUUCCUAUUAGGAUUAGGCGUUUCUUCGAAACAUAUACUGACAGAUGUAUAGAGUUCACUCAUGAUAGAUUAAAAAUUUGAGGAUCAAGUACUCUUGCUUCAUUGAUCAUUACAAGUUGCAAGCUAGCUUUAGGAUUAGGCGUUCAUGCAGUGUUUAUCAAGAUUCAGGAUUAGGAAUUUUUUGUAUCUCGCAACUUUGUGUCGGGCAAAUUAACCUCACUCAUGUUGCUAUGAGAGAAAAACUUAGUUAUGUCAAUUUUGCAAGAUUAUGUGGCAUCUUGACAAGAUAAGUUAGAUUUGUAGUAUGUCUAUUUAAUUUUUUCUGCUGCAACAUAUGUUGUCGAAAUACUUUCAAUUAUCAAUUGAUUCAUGAUUCACUAUUAAAAAAAUCGGUUCCGAACUCGGCACCCGAGUGAAGCAAAAGGGAAAUUGCUAAGCAAACUAGUAGCUGCACCUUAAUCCAAACUCAGUGAGAAUUUUCAUAGUCCUGGAAAAAAGAGAAUUUUGAUUCAAAAAAGGCGGUGUUGCUUCUGCUGUGCAAAAGGGAAUUGCUAAGCAAACUAGCACCUUAUCCAAACUGAAUGAGAAUUUGAAGUUCAGAAAAGAUUGCUCCAUUUCUACUGUGCACCUGAUGUAAAUCGCUACCCUGCAGGACUGGUGACGAUGUGGCUCUCUCUAGGCGGGUAGCGGUGACAUUCCUUAUGAUGACAAUGGCAGACUUCAGCGACCAGCUCUUCGACUGGCAGGACCGCCAUCUUCGAGCCCGACGUCGGACGCGCCCGCGUCGCCGCUGUCGUCGAGGAUGAGGCUGAGCACCUCGUCCACCUCUUCUGCGUCCUCCCGCGCCAGCAGCUCGUCUUUACAAUCCUCCGCCACCCGGGGAAACCCAAGACCGUAUGCCUCUUGCUCCCCUCCGCAUCUCUCGAUCAUAGAUACACUUUCUUUAGUUUUGAACCCUGUUAGAUCUGUUGGAGGGGGGUAAUUGAUGUUAGCAUCAAUUUAGGAGCGAUCUGAUUCACUUAUUUUCCAGGAAUUGGAAUGCAUCCCCCUGUUUUCUGUAGCUGAUUCUCAUCUCAGGGAAUCUUUAUCGAAAAAAAAAAUCUCAGGGGAUGCGUUGUGUGCGCUCGAAAAAAAUAUCUCAGGGUACGCGUUGUGUGCGCUUGAAAAAAAAGGGCAAUGGUUGUCGCACACCAAAUGUUUGGUGUCAUGCCUAUGCGGGGCUUUGGCAGGAACCUGCGGGCUUUGUAUUUGCUCCAAGAGUGAUCAAUUGAUCCGAGAUGGGCAUAAGUUUAGCAGGUAUUUUUAGUUUGGGGAGGUGAUGUGUGAGUCAUGGCCUGCACUGCUCGCUGGUAUUUGGCUACCAGUGACUGAGCUACCAACAAGUUAUAUGACUGCUGAUAUCUGUACUUAUAUUGUCCUACAUGCAUAGAAUGAGUGGUCUCUGCAAUCUAGUAGCUUAUACUCCUACUAUUUAACUCUGAACAGAUGAUCUUACUAGCAACUGAUGGUGUAUGCUUCGGACAAGAAGCAUCCUGUUUAAUACUCCUAGCAUAGUUUACAGUCGCGUUAAGUGUAAGCGUUUUGUGUUAUGCCAAGGUUGAACUUUAUUCAUACCGUGUGAAACUGACGCUCACCAUGCGAACAGUUUCAGGAGAUCAAAAUAGAGCAGAAUGAUGCUUCAAUAACCAAGUUAUUCACAUGCCCUGUUUCCUAUGAACCACUGAUGAGGAAAGGGCAGUCAAAACCACUUUGCCAAAGUCCACUGAACAAUUAUUCAAUCCAUCAAGUUUAAACCACUUUGGGCAUUACAUGAGAAAUGAUGUUAUGUAUUUCUAUUUCUGUGAAUUAUUGACCGCUCAACGCAUUUGUUAAGUCAACCAUGAUAGUGUAGUGCUUAGUUAGUACUCUUUUCGAUGGCUUUGCACAGGAACAAGGCAUCGUGUGAUGACCUGUGUUCCUACCUUUUUGCCAUAUGGACUUAUUCAUCACAAUGACAUCGCCUUCUGAUACUUUUUAAAAUCUGUCUAAUUGUUGCAGGCCCUGACAACAUGGAGCACCUGAAGAGGAUCGCCGAGGAGAUGCAGAAGCAGGUGGCUGUUGCAGGCGCCAUCCAGCCCAAGGAGGAGAACGACUUGGAGUUUGGAUGUAUUAUGUAAACCUGAAAGAUGUAUUAUGUGAACCUGGGAGAUGUAUUAUGUGAACCUGGGAGACGUAUUGUGUUAUGUAAACUUGGGAGAUGUAUUAUGUGAUGUUAUAUGAUGGAUGAUUUUAAUUUGAGUUGGAGUAUUCUUGAUUUGAAUAUGAAAUAGUGUUGGAUUUAAUAUUGGACAAAUAAUUGGGUUGCAAAGGCCCAACAAAUAGAAAUGAAACCAAGUUCAGGAACAAAAAGUUGCUGAAUUCAAAAAUGAAAAAGGCCAAAACUGAAAUUGGACCAAAUGUAUUUGGAACUUAAAGUCCAGGGCCCAAAUUAUAAUGAUAAAAAAAAUUCGAAAAAAACAUACUAAAGUGGCUGUAAAUAGGCAAAGUCCCAAAAGAAGUCCAAUAAGAAAAAGCCCAAAAAAAUAAAAUCAGCCCAUGUGAUCAAUUGAAAUGGGUUGGGCUGAUUUCAACCAUGAUGUUUUGAUUUCGUCGUAAUUUUGCCACGUAGGACUGCCACGUAGGACUGGGUUUGAUUGCCAACGCCGAUUUAGGAUCGUCGUAAAGGUUACGACGAUAGAGGCAUCGUCGUAAAAGUUACGACGAUUUUGAUCAAAACGUCGAUGCUCUUCAUUUCUGACGCUCCGUUUUCGACGCUUGGUUUUUCGUCGUGAGAUCGUCGUAAAUUAAAAACCGUGACGAUGUAGCGACGAAAAAAUAGCGUCGUGUAUUAGCAUAUUCCUUGUAGUGGUGGGCACUGCUUCGGGGGAAACCCUAAGAUCUGACUUUCCAGAUCGGACGAUGGCGGUACUGCGGUGUCGUAUCUCUCUUGGGAGCAUCCUUUGUGGAGCAAGGCUAGAUGACAGAGGCAGGAGAUGGAGCGGCUUCGUCUGGCUCGAAGAUUUGUUGGAACUGUUAAGUCAUGCCUGGCCGACAGGUGCUACGCGGAGUCAUGCCUGGUUGGUAGGUGCUACGCACGACAGUUCUUCCAGAAUCUUCGUGUCUGGACGAAUGAGCCUAGGGCGGUGGCGCUGUUUGGCGCCGUGGUGGCGUCGAUCAUCUUGCACGGAGCUUUCAGUGAAGAUGUCAAGUCUUGCGUGGUCGACAGGUACUACGCUAUGUCAUGCCUGGUCGGCAGGUGCUACGCACGACAGAUCUUCCAGAAUCUUCGCGUCUGGACUGACAAGCCAUGGUGGCGUCGCGGAUGGAUGGACUGUCAAGGAUGAUACUGUUCUCUCUCCUGAAGAUGGGUCAGCGGCCUGAUGAUGAUGGCGGCAUCUAAAACAUGUGCAUGUGGUUUCCGCUUUAUGUCUGUUGCACCGGCUGUGGGUUCCGAUACGAUAUGUGGAUGGAUCAAUGACGGCACCGGUUUUAGAUAUGGGGAAUGAGAGCACUCCACAUUAUCGAGUUUCUUAGGUGUGAGUGGUAGCUUCGGAUGGUUUGAUGUAUGUUCUUGUUAGACCUAUGUUGAAUAAUUAAUAAAAAUGGCCGUAUGCAUCGAUUGAUGCAGAGGCAGGGGGUUUGAACCUGCUUUUCCGAAAAAAAACAUCCACAUGUCUCAUUCUGGCGUCCUAUAUCCAUACUACACAUGCAUGUCGAAAUAAUCUACGUGAUCGGAAAAUAAAAUCGAAAGGAAACGGACACAAGAUUUGCGGCAAACGGACAUCUAUCAAUACUCAAAAGAUCAUCGAGUUCGCAUGACAUAGUUUAUCAUCACCAAAAAACUAUAUUAACAAUGCUGGUCGUUUCCUAGUAAAUGAUAAAGGUGUUGCAUUUUUUGAGAAUCGUUUGGUUGUUCCCAAGAAGCAACAACUGUGAGAAUUGAUCCUUAAGGAAGCUCAUGAAUAUCCUCUCACGAUUCAUCCCGGUAGUACUAAGAUGUAUCAGGACCUACGCCAGAGGUUCUGGUGGACCCGAAUGAAGAGAGAAAUCGCUCAAUUUAUUGCUAACUGUGACGUUUGUCGUCGCGUUAAGGCAGAACAUCAAAGGCCUGCUGGCACUCUUCAGCCCUUGGCUAUUCCUAAGUGGAAAUGGGACAAGGUCGGUGUGGAUUUCAUCACCGGCUUUCCAAAGACUAAGAAAGGGAUUGAUGCCAUCUUCGUGGUCAUCGAUCGUCUUUCAAAAUUUGCUCAUUUCCUUCCAGUUCGAGAGAGUAUAACUGCUAGUCAGUUAGCAGACCUAUGUAUUUAUCGAAUAGUUUCUCUUCAUGGUGUUCCUCUGGAAAUCAAUUCAGACCAUGGAAGUCUUUUCACCUCUCUAUUUUAGGAAAGUUUCCAAAAUGCUAUGGGAACUCUUCUCUCCUUUAGCACUUCUUAUCACCCUCAGUCAAGUGGUCAAGUAGAAAGAGUCAAUCAAAUUCUCGAGGAUAUGCUCAGAGCGUGUGUUAUCUCAUUCGGAAUGAACUCGGAGAAAUGUAUUCCAUUCGCCGAGUUUGCUUAUAACAUCAUUUUCCAGUCUAGUCUGGGCAAAACUCCUUUCGAAGUUCUGUAUGGAAGAGGAUGUCGAAUGCCAUUAAACUAGUCAGAAACCGGUGAAAGACAAUACUUUGGACCGGAUAUGAUCCAGGAGGCAGAAGAGCAAGUUCGCAUCAUUCCUGAGAAUUUAAAAACCGCCUAAUCUCGUCAAAAGAGUCAAUAUGACCGUCGUCAUUACGAAGUAAGUUAUGAAGUUGACGAGAAGGCUUAACUUCGGGUUUCACCUCUCAAGGUUACCCAUCGUUUCGGUAUCAAAGGCAAAUUGGCUCCUCGUUACAUUGGUCCUUUUCGCAUUCUCGCUAAACGAGGAGAGGUUGCCUACCAAUUGGAACUACCUCCGCAACUUUCCAAAGUUCAUGAUGUGUUCCACUUUUCUCAACUCAGGUGUUACUUCAAGGAUCCUAUCCGCGAAGUGGACCACGAAACGCUUGAUCUCAAAGAUGACAUUUCAUAUCGAGAAUAUCCCGUUCGUAUUCUUGAUGAAAGCGAGCGAAGCACUCGACAUCGCAACAUCAAGUUUCUCAAGGUUCAGUGGUCUCAUCAUUCCGAGGAUGAAGCAACGUGGGAGCGCGAAGAUCGUCUUCGGCUUGAGUACCCCGAUCUCUUCCCGACUACGCCUGAAUCUCAGGACGAGAUUCUUGUUUAGUGGGGGUGAGUUGUCACAGUCCUAGUUUUACUUUACUUGCCAAGCUGAAUUCAAAUUGCAUUGAAUUUGAAAUGGGGAAGUGAUCAAGCCUCAGGAACCAAAUUUUGGGAAAUAAGCAAUAUAAAAAUUGCUAUAAAAUGAUCCAAGAAAAUGUUCCGAAUAUUUUAUUAAAAUAUUGGCAUGAUAUAAAAAUGUCAACUAAUAUUUUAGGUCACAGAAACAUUUUGUGUUGGACUUUUGAUUUAAUCAAGCAAAUAUUUGGAGUGGAAUUAUAUUAUCUCUAUAUAAAAUAUAGUUCCAUAAUUCCUGAAAAUAAAUGUGUGGCAUUAGAUAUUUAUAUUAUGCCACCUAAUAUAUUUUUCAGGGUUUUAUAAAAUGGCUAAAUAAUUUAUUUAAAGCCUAAACACAAACGGCAGAAACAGAAAAGAUACAAAAACUGAAAAGGGAGCAGAAGCUUACCUCGCGCCUAAGUGGCACGCCCAGCCCACUCCAGCCACCCCUGUCGUAUUCCUCCUCCUGCCAAUAGGCAAAGGAGAAGGCGAGCACGGCAGCCACCUCCUGCUUCGCCGUGGAGCUCCUCCUCGCCUCCACGACACCAGCACGACCCCCUCUCUCUUAUCUCCUCCCCCUCUCUUCAUUUUCCCCUUUCUCCCCUGCUCAUCCCUCUUUCUCUCCUCCGCCAUUGACGAGCUCGGGCUUGAGGUCACCGGCGCCCCUCCGGACACAGCAACACCACCCUGACCUGCUCCCUUCCCCGCAUCGACGAGCUGCUCCUCCCCGCCGAAGGAAUUGAGCCGAAGCCCGCUGUAUCGCCCUCGCCGCCGCCGUUCCCAACUCCGACCACCGGACCCCGCCGCCGUCGAUUCGGCCUGCCCCGAGCUCCCCUUCCGUCGGCGUUUCUCCCAUCAGUUCCGUGGUGAGCUGCGGAGCAUUUCGCCUCUAUUUCCCUCUUUUUCCCGCGCCCUGGCACCGCUCCCCAUCGAUGCCAAACUCGGGCCGCCGCGUGCCUCCACCGGCGCCCCCAUGACCAGCCGUUGCCCCUGCUAGAUCGGUCGCUUCGCCAGCUUCGCGUAGCCGCAAACCGCGCGGACAAUGGCCCCUUGGAGCGUGAUUGUAGCCAACUCCGUCGAGUCCUCCGCCGCGGUUUGGUCGCCGCCGGCCAGUUUCCGGCGAGCGCCGACGUGGCACGGCCAUUAGUGCCUAACUAGCACCCCACAGCCACUGACACAGGGCCCCACGCGUGGGUCACACCCCAAUUAGGGGCAGGUCAACUCGGGUUUAGCCCAGGGUCACUGACCAGUGGCCCCCACUGGUCAGGUUUGACCUGGCCCGGCUGGUUUGACCUGAUGACGUCAGUGCUGAUGCAGUAAUUCAUUUCAGAGUUUAAAAUAAAUCCAGAAAUUAGUAGAAACUUCAAAAAUUCAUAGAAAUUAAAUUAUAACUCGGAUGAAAAUAAUUUAUAUAUGAAAAAUUAUUAGAAAAAUGUAAGGAAUCCAAUGGUACCAUAUUCAUGCAUGUUUGAACAAUUUGAACUAGCUGAAUAGGACAAUUACAAAAUAGGCAUAUAAAUGCUUAUAUUUGGAGUUUAGAAUUGAUCUAUAUUGAUCAAACAAACCCCAAUUAACUUGUGAUCACUUGCAUUAGAUAAAACCAGCAUCAUUUUAACAUGCCAUGCUCAUGCAUCAUUGUGAAGCAUUUGUCGUGCUUAAUUUGUUCUUUGUUGAUCUUGUUGAUAGACCUUGCGAGAUGUAGUUAUCACCGACAUCGAAGAACAGCUGAGUUCUUCUGAUCAACAGGAAAGCAAACCCCUUAUGUAUUAGGACAUAAAGAUUCAACUACUACUUAUGUUAUGAUAGAUAACACAUUCCUUUGCAUGACAUGUCUUUGUCAAAGUAAAUAGCUAAACCAAGAAACCUAGCAUACCUGGUAGAUGCUUGAGCCAUGUUGUGCCAUUACCCUGAUAUGCUUGCUAUGCUUAGAGUUGAGUUGGUCUCAUCAUCUGGAUGAUGAAUUGGAAUGACCAUAUCCUACUGAUGAGAGUUAAGUAUGUGAAACCGUUUUGGUAAAGGUAGUGAUGAGAGUCCAUGUAGGAGUACAUGGCGGGUUGUCACAUUGAUACCGCACUUAGGACCUGAGAUCUUGUGUUGGUGUUCCAAGACUAGAUACUACCGCACAUUGGGUUCCGGUAACUCGACCCCUCUCGGCCUAUUAACUACUCUAUUCUCAGUCCAGGAGUCGCAGUAGUUCGAAACAUUCAUAGAUUAUGGCACGACCUGCUAAGUGGAUGAACGGCCCAAUCAUUACCGGCUUGGGGCCCUGCUCACAUCGUUUGAGGACAUGUUGGAAACCCCGGCCGGACUUCCAUCAUGGGUUCCAACUCAGAUAGGCGACUGCCUUGUGCGUGAGUCAUUGUGGGUUAACGUCCGUGGCUGACUCCCUCGCUGGACUUCCGCUUGAAGGUUGCUGAGGUGCUUGUUUUAUGUGCACAUGGCGAUAAUUGGCGGGAGCAUGUGUGACGAAGUACACCCCAGCAGGGUAAUUAUCCUUGGAUAUGGACUACUUGGAUACUUACAUGGUUCAUAGAUAACUUUAACGGGUACUUUAAAAUGGUCCAGAUAAGAGUGAGUGCUAUGGAUGGCCUUCUCAUAGGAUGACGAGAGAGGAUCCAUGGUGGUGUAUUGAUGUGGUGGAUAUGUGGACUCGUGUGCGCCCUCUCGUAGGGAGACAAGAGAGGUAUAAAACAUUGUUGUAGUUUAGGUUAGCCAAAGGUCAAAGCUGGCUUUUCUGCAGUAAACCCCACAACCCCGUUCAUUGAUGCAUGAUGCAUAUGUAGUUAACUCUGAUGUAAGUCUUGUUGAGUACCUUCAUACUCACUGUUCCUUAUUUUCAUUUUUGCACAGAUAGACGUUGUUCUCUCUACGUUUUCCUGUUGACGUUAACAUCGAUGGAUUAGCUUGGGAACCCAGAUAGUGGUCUGGCUCCUAUGGUAGGGUUGUUGUAGCUUUUCAGGCUCUUCCAGCCGCUUUUAAUAGAUGUCUAUACCCAGACAUGUAACUUCCGCUUGAUGCUUGUAUGCUCUGAAUGUUGGGUCAUGUGACCCCUCUGUUUGUAACAUUAUACUAUGUUGGCUCUUCGGAGCCUAUUAAAUAAUUGAUGAGUCGUAGAGUUAUGAUGUGAUGCUAUUGUUGUAUCUACACAUAUCAUGCAUAUUGUGUGUAUGUUUGAAAUGCAUUGGUAUGUGUGGGAUUCGACACCUAGUUGUGUGCCUUUAGUAGUAAUCUUUACAGCGAAAUGCCUCUUUGUGCUUCCACCGAGCCUUGGUAGCUUGCUACUUCUUCGGACACAUUGAUUGACCGGCGUGUAUCCUUCUUUGCUGUUGUAUCUGUCCCCUCGGGGAAAUGUCACGCGGUGUAAUGGAGUCCUUGUAGCUUGCUACGACUCGUCUACACACGCUGUUGACCGACACCUGCUUAGUUGGGUCAAGGUGAGCGGCCCCGACACCACCAUCGCCGUUCGGCGCCCCCGCCCCAGGCGGUUGCUUCCGCUGCUGGCCCCCGCCCUCACCCCCUCCAGCGCUAGUUGCCCCCGUCAUCGCCUCCGCCGUCUCACUUGUCGUGGAAGACCUAGAAAUUUUGGCUAAGUGUUGGCUCUGUCCUAUCCUCGGAAUAGGUCCCACUUGUCAAUGACUUAGAUUUGGCAAGAGACAACCGCAGUUUUAUAUAAUAUACAGUCAUUUCGGUAGAUGGGCAGCAAUCCCUCUCUAGCCCAGUGGUAGUCAACAAGCAGCCACAACCCAGUGGUCGUGGGUUCGAGUCCACGCUCGGGUAAAAAAAAUUACCCAACGAAUUUUGCGCUCGCGUGUGCUUCUGCUGUCAAAUGGGUCCCACCUGUCAGUGUGUGAUCUUUGUUUAACAAGAAGUAAGCAAAAAUGACAGGUAAACUGAGGUUGUUGCCUAACCAUCCUAAUGCAUUCGAACUAAUUAGUAACAAGAGGUGGCCGGUGCUGUCCGCUUUACGACAAUUUCUAGUAAGGAAGUUAUGACAUUUCUGAUGAAAAUGGUCGUUAGUUUUUAGGGUUAGGACCCCUCCGGACAUCUUACAACCAAUUGGUCUCAAAUGGUCGUAGAUUUACGACCAUUUCUACUUGCGUCAUUGCUAGAAGGUCGCUAGUUGACAUAUUUCUUCUAGUGGAUUACCAUAAUGCUCGUCAUAUACAAGGAUUAAUCCUGCAAUGACGAAUCAUGUGAUCAUCCAAAUGACGGAAUUUGAGAUGAAGAAUUUGGGUAAAACCUCUCGCACAUUCACUCAUACAUUAUGGUACACAUGUCGUCAUUAUCUAGAUUAUACUAGACAAAAUAGAUUGUGGGGAUGUCUUACCCAUCCAUAAUUUCCAUGGUUAUUCGUUCUCUAGACGUAGAGAAAAUUUCAUUUAGACUGCGAGGAGAUGGAAACAAGAUUUUAGGACCUAAAGUUCCAUAUCCUAGUGCCAUUGGACCCACCAAACAUAAUUGGUUGGGACUCAAGAAUAUAUUUUCAUAUCUCCAAGGCAUCAAACAUCUUGUCCUAAUCUUUCAGUUUUAGAGAAAUCUGGACACCCGAUAUUAUUGGAUACGUUGAUUAGAUCCCUACCAUGUUAGAUCGUAGACAAGCUAUGUGUUCCUACUAGGUGUCGUAGCCAUCCCAUGAAAGUCUUCAAAACAAAUCUUAUUAGCUACAUCCACCAACCAUUAUCUCAAAGAUAAUGUUGCUUGUGUUCCCCGGAUGCAAACAUGUUACAUAAUAAGCAAUAUCUCUAUAUUUCAUAUAUUGCAAUUCAAAUCAUGUGGCUGAUUUGUUCACCAAGUCUCUACCAACUUCUACAUUCUAGAAAUAUGUUCACUGAAUUGGUAUGUGACGGCUUCGGAAUUUGCAAGAAUUAGGGGAGUAUCUUCCUGAAUUUUUCAUGUUCAGAGCAUCAUAUUAUAAUAUUUUUCCCUGCAUGAGUUUACUGUACAUGUUCUCAUAAAGAUUUUUCAUGAGGUAAUAUCAACAUGAAAUCAUAUGUCAUAUUUUUUGUUUUCCCCAACUGGGGUUUUUAGGGAUGUAUACACAACAUAUUUAUUGUCCUCUAAACUGUAUGGAUUUUAUAAUAUUGAGUUAAAGAGACAAUUAUUAUGAUAUGUCAUAUUAUUUUCUCCUUAUAUUUUUCCCACUGCAUUUUAAAGGAGUUUCCAAUGGCAUAUCAGAUCACACUCUUUUCCCUUAUGUGAUUUCUCUUGAAGUUUCUCAUAAAAGGUUUUAACAAGGCAACAUAUGCAAUAAUUUCUAUUUUUCUCACUUGGGUUUUUUUAAACGAAAGUAUACAAUGAACAUUUAUUGGUCUCCAAACUCACAAAUAAGUUUUCUCCUUGUUCAAAGGUUUUCCUCAUAUGUGUUAUCAAGGAGAUACUAAUCAUAAUAUGUUGCAUCAUAUUCUCCUUAUUUUUUACCCAUCAGGUUUAAAGAAAUUUUAGCAACAUAUCAGCACCAUUCUCCUCAUAUUUUUUCCAUAAGGUUUUUGGGAAGACUCAAGAUUGUACAAAGGAUUUAUCAAGAUGGAAGAUGAAUAUACAAGACACCUUCAGUGAUGUUCAAGAAGCCUUUAGUGGUGAUCAGGAAGCGGUGUUGUAUAAGGGGGUGUUAGGAAUAAAUUAUCACAUGUCUAUUUUUAAUUAGCACAUGCUAAUUAAUGGAUCAUCAUUAGCGAAAGGUGUGUCCAACCCCGAAGAGUUAUGUCCCUUCUCUCUCUUUAUUGUCAAUAGGCAUCUGUUUUGGACGGAUGUCUCCGAACAAACACCCUUUAUUUUCAUCUUUUCGAGAUGUAUAUAUACUUGAGUAUCAAUAAAAACAAAGACUUAUCGUUCAUUUACUUUCAAUCAAUCUUGUUCUACUUUAACACAACUCACUAGCAAUUUUGUGUGUCGGGCCACUUCGAUCUUGCGGUAUACCCCAGCUGUCCUGGUAUGUGGGGCAUGCUAUGGUUGUUUAAAAAUAUUAAAAUUAUAAAAUGCUUUCUAGUAUGACUUGGUUUUAUUAAGCACGCAAACAUAAUAAAUUUGAAUCGACGUUCUUGUACCACCGAAAGUUCACACCAAUCAGCGAACUACGCAUUUCCAUUAAAGUUGUAGAGGGUGCUGCAGUAGUAAAUAUGUAGAGGGGAGGAGACGCAUCAAGACAAGAGGGCAGUGUGGUGCACUAAUCCUACUACGUAGUCCCUGUUGGUUGGUAAAUGAGAUGGUCAGGUCUGUUGCAAUUCUUUACGUCGUCUCUGUUGGUUGGUGUAUUCUCCUGUGUGUGGCAUGGUGUUUGUGAUUAGAGAGUUCCCAUGAUUAUCUGUCGCUCUGUUACGACUUGGCAUAAUACUCCUACAUGCACACAAAGACGUGUCGGUUGCAGCUAGCCAUCGGGACUGACAUGCCGUCCUACCGAAUGUUUAAGGAGGUCGACAGUAGUUUGGUGCAGCUAGUCAACGGGACUGACAUGUUAAGCAGCGCGUGUAUGCGUCUCGCUUCGGCCGAAAUCACUGUUUUAACAUUUUUAUUAAUCUUUGUCACAAACUGAACUCAACAUAAAAGUGUUUUAUGAUCUAAUCUUUUUGAUAACAUCAUAGUCAAUCCAACAUAGAAACGCCAAGCUAGAUAGCGUUUCUGCCCUUGUCCACUGUCAGGCCGACCAUGCGUAUGUGACAAGCCAGAAACGUCGAGCUAGACCCCGUUUCUAUAUAGGGCGGCAACGUCAAAGGCCUUGCGUUUCAAAACAACAUAGAAACGUCAAGGCUUUUGGCGUUGCUGCCCUACAUAGAAACGCCAGGGUCAGUGACGUUUCCAGAAACGAGAUCUAGCUCGGCGUUUCUAACCUGUUACCUACGCGUACUCGUCAUGGCAGUGGACCAGAGCAAAAAUGCUAUCUAGCUCGGAUUUCUAUGUCGGGCAGUAACGUCACGGGCUAUGAUGUUGCCAAAAAGAUCAGAACGUGAAAUACUUUUAUAUCAAGUUCAGAUUGUGACAAAAAUCGCUGAGAAGGUUAGAAUAGCGAUUUUGUCUGCCUUUGUGGGCCAUCUCCUAGUGUCGUGGGAAUGACCCUAACAAUAGUACCUAAGGGUAUGAAUGAAGGGGCAAAGUCUAACUAGACGCAGUGGAUGCACUCGGAUGUACGAGUUUAGACCCCACUCGAAAGUGGUAACAGCCAUACGUCUCGAGCCCUGAGGCUGGUAUUUUCUUAUGGGGUGUAAAAGAUUACAAAGUGUUGAACCCUUGAGCUAGAGCCAGAAGUGGCUUAUAUAGUGCAUACCAUGACCGGCCGAGCUUCAUUACAAGGCAAUUAAUGCAAAUAAACGAAAAAGUUACUAGAAACGACAGCUUUAAUUAUCGGCGUUACUAGUAACGUGAGUCUUCACUGCUCUUCAUGCGAUGGGUUAAGUCCUUAGCCGUUUGCAGCCUCUUCGGUGCCUUUUCCUCGCUGAGGUCCGAGUGUCAAGAUGUAUCCGACUCGCACGAGAGGAUCCGAGUGACUCCAGGCAGACCGAGUGACGGUUGCUGAACCGAGUGAGGUCGAGGCAGCCUUGGUGACUUUAAGGAUACUAAUGUCCGUAAGGGUCCUAGGUAGGCCCAAAGAGGCAGGUCCGUAGGCCUACCCCUAAUGUACAACACGAGCAGUAGCCCCCGAAUCAAUUGAGGUUUUGCAGAUCGACUGAAUGACUUCCUUCAAUGUCUCCGACGCUUUGAAGAUUCUUGGGAUGUAGCUCGGGGCUGCGUCAUUCGGACCCUCGGCAAACCUCCACGGAUUUAAGAGUGACCAAUUUCGACUGUCCAGCCAUACAGGUACUUCAGCAGUCGGCAGUGACAGAUUAUCUUUUGGAAAGAUAGAUCCCAUGAGUUCGAUGGACGAGAGCUUUGUACUCCGCGUGCUCAAUCGGUGAGUUGGGACAGAUCUUAACUCGUGUCGAGGUAAGGACGAUCAGGUCGUCGUCAUCAAUUUCCGGACUGAUCGGGAUUCCGUAGGGGAUCGUGCGAAAAGAUCAUUCGGCAUGCUUUGUCAUACGACGUGUACACGGGAUCCAUUCGGGAUACAAGGUGGGACAGAUUUUUCGUAACUUUUGAAAUUGAGGGAGCACGCCCGCGGUCGACGGUUACGCGGAGACGCGGGUAGUGGAAAUAGUGAGAGAAAAGAUUAAUCGUAUGAGCUAAUGUAUCAUGAUCGUCAUUACGUGCAUUUCGGAACAGAACAGGGGAGGAGCUGGGGAUCAAAAGAGUGAACUAGUACUACAGUGUUAUCUCGGCAUUUUGCAAUGCUCUGACGCAUGUCAACUAGUAAGCGCCAUAAGGAAAAGACGAGUCAUGGCACAUGAACCAGGGUCGUACAAAAUUAAAAACUAGCUGUUAUUAACUCAAGAUCUCUGGAAAGGUACUAAGAUGGAGAAGUUGGCAACAUUAUUUCAUUUCAUACAUGAUAAGAUAAUUAGUGCUUGCUCGCAGUAAACAUCGCACUGCAAGCAUGGCCUCGCCUGAUCGCCCCAAUUUCAGCAGACAAGUUCGGGGAGGCGUAUAGAACUUGCUGCGCAUUAUUUGAUCUACAGCCUAAUUAGUGGAAGGAGGUGUUCUUGAGGUGUGGCGGGGCGUUGUCAAAGGAGUGCUUCCUGGCCAUGGAGACGAUUGUCUUGUCGGCGACGAUGAAAUAGGCCAUCCCGGCGACGGUGGAGAUGAUGAGCGCCUGCCCGGCCGGGUUCAGGUGCGCCUUUGCCCACGGCAGCAUCCUCACGCUCGCCAGCUGAAAUUACAGGUAAGAGGUAACACAUUCGUGCUCCGCAGGGAUAUCUCGAAGAAGGCAAGAACUAAAUGGCUAGCUACUAACCGUGGGGACUGCGGCUGCGACGGUGGCGACGGCCGCGGCCUUGGCUCCCGCCAUGGCAGCCUCUGCAACACCGACAGGUUAAUGACAAUCAAGUUUCAGUGGACAGAUACAUUACAGAAGCUGCAAUUAAUGCACGACGGAAUGGUAUCUAUACGAGCAUUGCUGGUUACCUCUGGAGCAACGCUUGGCUGCAGCGAGCCUCUGGUCCAGGUAGGCGCGGGUCACCGUAGACAUUUUCGUGGGAGUGGCAGCUUGGUGGCACGAGACCGGAAGGAAGUGAACUAGAAGUAGAGCAGCAGCAGUGUGCUUUUUAUGUGACCGUCUGAGAGUGAGAUGAGAUGGAUAGGAGGUGUGCUCCGAUUCGGCCGAGUUUAUGUAGGCUGCAGGAAACCGGCAACCAGCGUGCGCACAAGAAGACGAUAGAUACAGUGGGAAGCGAGACCGUGGUUUUGGCACUUUGGCAGGCGAGCUAGCAAUACCGGCGGCGUGCUGGGUGGUCGGCGCUGCGGCAGAACACAGGUGGCGCUGCCUCGUUGGUCAUUUAAAAACCAUCUCACGUGCGCCGCACUCUUCUGCAACUGGAUAACAGCAGGCAAUGCAUCAAUCCAUCGGGGUUGGCAGGGAAUCAUAGGAUAACAAAUAUAGGAGCAUGUGCAUGAGUGGGGUGUCAAUUAAAGCAUCACUUGUAGUGUUCUUAAAUCUUCAAAUCCUUAAAAUAAAUCAUUUUUUACGGAUUGAAACGAAAAAAAGCAAAGAAUAGAACCCCUAAACCCUUAAAAAAAAAUAAGGAUUGAACCCGGGUUGCCCUCUCAAUCUCUAAAAGUGAGGAUUGAAGAGGGGAACCCAUCCCUAGCCCGCACUCCUACCGGUCGACGCGCGGGAGGGAAAUUUCCCCGCCUCCCGCCUCCCGCCACCCGCCUCCUCGCUGCCGUCGGCCGCNNNNNNNNNNNNNNNNNNNNNNNNNNNNNNNNNNNNNNNNNNNNNNNNNNNNNNNNNNNNNNNNNNNNNNNNNNNNNNNNNNNNNNNNNNNNNNNNNNNNCCCCAGCCCGCCCCAGCCGCCGCCUCCGUCGUCCCGCCCGCCACGUCCCUCACCCCGCCCGCCUCCUCCCUCGCCCCGCCGAAGCCGCCCGCCACCAAGGGUCGGAAGAAGAAGCCCUCCCUUGGGCCGAAGGGGGCGGCGGGGCCGAAGGUGAAGAAGACCAUCUCCCGGAAGAAGCCGGCUCCUGUGCCCGCCCCGGCCGUCGCCCCUCCGCCCGUCGUGCACGAGGUGAAUGCCCGCCCCGCUGACAUCAUUCAUGGGGCUUCUCGAAGACGCGGAGGUGGACAUCGGGGCUCCUCCUCUCGAACCCUUUGGGUUUAGUGAUGACUUGGAGGAAGAGGGUGAUGAGGAGGAGGAAGGGGAAGAUGAGGAGGAGGUGACCGAGAUAGAGGAGGAGGCGUUCUCCACCGUUGGAAAACACACCGUGCGCUCGACAAACUAUAGCGAGGACGAAGAUAUUCUCUUGGUUCGUGCUUGGGCACAUGUGGGAAUGGAUGCAAGCACCGGUGCCGAUCAAACCGAUAAACUCUAUUGGCAAUGCAUAGAGGACCUCUAUUGCAAGAUUAAGCCGAAGACCGGUGGGUACGACGCUCGUAGUUACCUGUCGCUACAAGGCCGGUGGGAGUUGAUGAAGCCCCAUUGUGCUCGUUGGAGUGCGGCAAUGGACCAAGUGAAGGAUGCACCGCCUAGUGGGACCGUGGAGAGUGACUAUGUAAGUACAUAUGUGUUUUUCACAUUUAUUUUGAUUUUCUAUGCUAUUGUUAUGUAUGUUUACUAUGCUAUUGGUGGGUUUGUAGGAGGCAAUUGCCGACUUGAGGUACAAGGAGAUGGCCGCUUCCAAGGGCAAAGCAUUUCCAUUUAAGCAUGUUUGGAAAAUUCUUUAAACUUAUGACAAGUGGAAGUUGAGGGAUCAAGAGACCGCACCCAAGAAGUCGACAAUGCUUAGGAUGGAUGAUAGUGAUGAGGAGGAAAGGAACGAGUGCAAGCCCGAGGGAACCAAGAAGGAUAAGCUAAGCAAGAAGAUGGAAGGAGAGGCGUCAAGCAUAAGGGAGAAGAUGGAACAUAUGAUGAAGUCAAGGAAGGCAUUGAUAAUGAAGACAUUGGAGACAAAGCUCCUUAUCAACGAGAAUAAGAAAGAGGUGAAGCUUGCACAAGUUGAAGCAAGGCGUGAAGAAGCCAAGCGCAAGGCCGACCUGGAGGAGAGGAUGAUCAAGGUCAAAGAAGCAAAGGCAUGGAAAGAACUCAUGGUGGAAGAGAAGGAGCACAUAAUGAUGUCCAAUAAGGACAUUGAUGAAGACCAAUUGAUGUGGUGGAAGGAGUACAAGGAGGACAUCGCGGAGAGGAAGAGGAUAUUCUGUGGUGCGUCCUCUACUCUUCGAGGUGAUACUCCGAUGAGUGGUGGUGGCGAUGGCAGUGUGGAGGACUCCACCACCGGCGAAAAUGGAGGUGCUUGAUGGACGUGGAAGUGGUCUAGGAGAUGGCGCUGAGGUGCAACUUUUUGGUGAUGGUGCCGAUGAGAGGGGGAAGAUGAUGAUUUUAUGAUGUAAACUAUUAAACCAUGCAUCAAUGAUUUUCAUUUCCUAGUUUGUUUCAAGGUUGAUUGUGUUUUUCUAGUGAUAAUUGUGAUAUGUCAAAUGACAGAUUUAAGGGUUGGGGUUGCGGCAAAGACUAAACCCUCAAAUUCAACCCUUAUAACGGAGUAUUCUGUUAUAAGGGUUGGGUUUGAGGGUUCUAGUCUUUGCCCCUGUUUUUCAAUCCUUAAAAGUGCCAAAAAAUGCCAAUUCUCAACCCUUCAACUGGUAUGAGGGUUUGAGGGUACUACUAGAGAUGCUCUUAGCGUGCACACCAUCUCACUUCAGAUUUGUCUGUGUGUGUGGGAGUUUUCGUCCUACCCAACCCGGUUAGACGCGUCGGAAAUCAGCCCAAUUUGACUAGUGGUUGAGUGCUAAAUUUUUGUUUGUUGAGAGAGAGAAUAUCACAUGAAACCUAAGUUUUGAUAAAAAUCACCCAGAAUAGAUAUUAUUUUGAUGUUCCGAAAUCUCCAUUAGAUGUUGAUUUUGUUUCUUCAGCUCGUCCUUAGGGCGUCUCCAAAGCUGACCCGCCAAUAGUUUCGAUAUAUAUCCGUUUUUAUGUCCGGACGUAGUCCGUGGACGGUUGUCGAGGACAGGUAGACUUCGUUGACUAUAGCAUUUACUGUAGCUACAAUUGUACAGUAUACGAAGGAGAUGUGCCUAAGCCCUAGGCCGUCGCUCCUUCUAUCUGGGGCGUGAAUCCGUCCAUGUCGGUGGAUAUAAUCAGGAGUCGGCCAUUCAAUUGUAGGUGCAAACAUCCGCCUCUAUUAAUGAUUUUCAAGAAAUCAACUCAGCCAAAUUAACCUUCCACAAAUAGAAAAUCUACCUUCCGUUGAAUAGAAAUCAACCUUCACUUAUUUGAAUCAAUCUUCCACCAUUUGACGUAUACUUAUAAAGAAAUAUUUACUCUCGUAAUUUUAGGUGCGACAAUGAGAAUUGUCUAAAAAAAUAGAUGGAAUUGGACCUAGAAAAACCAUUCAGCUUCAUUAUGGAUUAGGUAUGACUGGGUGAAAAUCCUUUUGAAGGAAGCUAUUCAAGAACGGAUGGAACGGCUUUCCCUUCAAUAACAAAUAAAUUUUACAUAUGGGAAUUGGUUGAAGUCGAGGGAUUAGCUUAUAUAGAUAGACGCGGCGGGGGCACGGUGUUUAUCCGGUCUCGUGUUAGAUCCUAUGAUUUGGUUAGUUAGCCUAUGAGAACAAGUCACAAGUUAUUUCCUCUUUCAAUCAAAUGAGGUACUUCCUCGGUUUAGAAGGCACGUUUGGAAAAUCUCUCGGAUCAAGGUAGUCAACGAUUGGUUGUGAGAUGUAGUAGGUGUAUAUGCUAAUGCGCCUAAUCAACUGGAAAAAAUAAGAGUACUAAUGCUUGAGCAGCAAAUUAGGAGGGCGCAUGCAUGAGUAGUGCUAGUACUAAUUAAUAAGAGUAAUUGCUUUCCCGCCUUAAACCUUGUCUAUUUUGAAAACGCACGCAAGUUUAACCGUGCCUUCUAAACCGUGACGGAGAGAGUAAUUAACGUGAAGUAACAGGGUAAUAAAUCUACAUUUUUAAUACAAACUAUUAAUAAACUAGUAGGAAGAAAUAUGUGUUUUUAAUGUGGAGUAAUCAAUAGACGGUCCUAAGCUGCUCUCGCCCCAACCCGGACAUGGGUACACGGCGGCUUUUGAUUGGCCAAGCGCCGGACUCCUGUAAGGCCUCACCUUAUCGACGAUUGGUCUAUCUCUGUCUACCUCAAGUGUUGCUUUGUUGCUUAUCCUUUGUGUGCUUGCUACUUAUCUUCAGCAUUUGUGUAUCUAGCCUUAGGUUGUCUGAGGUGGUGUUUGUAAUCGUAUGAUUGUAUGUGAUCGUUGUUUUAUAUAUAAAACGGAACGCGAGCCUAUUUCGUCGUAAGCUGCAAUGCACAACAGAAUGGUAUAUACGAGCACUGUUGGGCUGAGGCAGGGACCGGCUCCCUCGUUGGUUACCUAUGCGGCACCGCUUGGCGGCGGCAAGGUAGGCACGGGUCAUCGUAGACAUGUCGAGAGCAGAGUUUGGUAAAGGAUCAGUAGGUUUACUAGCGUGAGUGAGACCAAGAUGAGAUGGGCAGAGCAAGAGGUGAUUCUUUUCAGCGAGAGGAGGCAUCGAUCCAUUUUGUAGGAGCAUGUGCGUGAGUGCAGUGUCAGUCAGUGUGCACUCCGUUUUGUUGGCCAUGUGAUGUGCCUGUCCUGGCGCUCCCAGUUUUCGCCCUAGCUAGCUCGGCAAUCCCGUCAGCGGUUCGGUGCAAAACCUUUGCUUGUUUAGCUGGCGUUAUUCCCGGGAGUGCAUGAUAGUUACCGGAGUAGUUGAUUUCCAUUUUCUUAUGAUGACGCUAAAAACACUUGCCAUCUUUGUUAAUUUAGAAGAAAAAAAUUAUCCUGUUAAUUUAGAAAAACCAGAUGAAAACUGUAGCAACACGCCCAACCAGACUAUCAUAGUCAAACAUAUGACAAUAGAUAUGUCAGAGGCCGAUCUUGCUACCAACGUAGACUCCAUACUUAACGGAGAAGACAACUUCCGCAAUGGCUGCAUAGAAACGUCACUCAUCGCCCUCAAUCUAUUUUUUAUUUUUUUGGAAAAGGAGGUUUAACCCCGGUCUCUGUAUCAAUCGAUGCAUACGACCAUCUUUAUUAAUUAUUUAAUAUAGGUCUAAUAAAAACAUACGUCAAACCAUCCGAAAUCAUCACUCACACCUACAAAACUCGAUAAUGUGUAGUGCUCUCACUCCCCAUAUCUAAAACCGGUGCCCUCAUCGAUCCAUCCACAUAACGUAUCGGAACUCACAGCCGGUGCAACACACCUAAAGCGUACACCACAUGUACACGUUUUAGACGCCGUCAUCAUCAUCAGGCGCUGACCCAUCUUUUGUAAAAAGAUGUGUAUCAUCCUUGCCAGUCCGUCCAUCCGUAGACGCCACCACGGCUCGUCAGUCCAGACGCGAAGAUUCUGGAAGAUCUGUCGUGCGUAGCACCUGCCGACCAGGCAUGACACAACGUAGCACGUGUCGGCCAGGCAUGACUUGACAUCUCCACCGAAAGCUUUGUGCAAGAUGAUCGGCGCCACCAUGGCGCCAAACAGCGCCACCGCCCUGCGCUCAUUCGUCGAAACACAAAGAUUCUGGAAGAACUGUCGUUCGUAGCACCUACCAACCAGUCAUGACUCAGCGUAGCACCUGUCGGCCAGGCAUGACAUGACAGUUCCACCAAAUCUUCGGGCCACACAAAGCUGCUCCAUCUCCUGCCUCUGUCAUCCAGCGCUGCUCCACAAACAAUGCUCCCAAGAGAGAAACGGCACCGCAGUACCGCCAUCGUACGAUCUGAAAAGUCAGAUCUUAGGGUUUCCUCCGAAGCAGUGCCCACCACCAGCAACCGCCCAGGACCCACAUAGUGCCCGCCACAACUCAGCCCUCAAGGCGACGCCUUCAGGAAGGUCACGACGUCAAGGACGCCGCCGCCUUCCACCGGAGUUAGGGUUUUCACCCGAGAGGCAGUGAGGUAGGAAGUGGAGGAGCAGACCUAGACCGACGUCUCCAGGAAGAACAACGGCGCUCUUGAGCGUCGUCGGCGGCGCGGCCGGCCAGGGCCGACCAAUGGGUUCCCCCGUACCUGAAUCUUCUCCACCAGCUUCAUCCGCGGCCACGCCGGCAACGCCAGAAAACCGCAGGAGAGAAGCACACCGCGGGUAUUUGGAUCAAUGAAGAUUCAAUCUAAACAGUGACGAGUACCACCACCCUGCGCUGGCCGACGGCGUCCGGGCGCCGGAUCCAGAAGGAUCUGACCCCUCGCCCUCGAUCUAAUGACUCCGACUCCAACAAAAAUGGCCAUAAACAAACUAACCGGUACAAGUUGAUGCAUGGAACCAAAAUUCACUAUGCUUAGAAGACAUCAUCAGCCAUGGAUGCACACAGGCGUCAUCAGAGGCGACUAAAUAAAAUGAUGCUGCUUGUAGUACCCACACCAGACCGAAUAAAAAUGAAACCGUUUGUAGAGAGACAUUUUACUAGCAUCCACACACUCUGCGAAGAUAGCUGCCUCCGAAUCCCACCAUGUGAUAGUCUAGUUCCGCUUUGAGGCGAUUGACACCAAGAGAAUUAGCGAUAACUGGCGACCGGUGGUUUCUCCAGGCGGCUCAACUCUAAUCUUGUUCAGUAGUAGUGGGUGUUUUGUGUUAGGGCUGGUGUCUCCUGGUUUCAUGCUCAAUGUUGACUUAGAGACAAUUUUUUUGGCCUUUUUAGACUUCUAAAAUAAGCUGCCUUCUAUCCAUUUUAUUCUAAAAGCCUAAUUCAAUUUCUUUUUAAAAACAUAUUAGACAAUUUAAUUAUUAGCUUUCUAAGAAAAUUAAUUUGGUUGGACUUCUGAAAUAAGCAAGAAUAGGAGGCAACCUAUUCCAUCUUAUUCUAGAAGCCGGCAAAAAAUAAACUGGCCUUCAGUUAUUCUUGUGCCAACAAACCAGUACCGUUUUAUUUUACUUUUAGUUUGUUUGCAUGAGGGUUGUCUCAUCAUAUUAUAUCGGUUCGACCGAUUGUGGCUUUAUUCGAAAAGGGGGCGAAAGACUCUUUUGAAAAAGGUUUAAUCGUGUGAGGUGAGGUGUCAUGAUCCUCACGUGCAUUUCGGAACAGAACAGGGGAGGAGCAGGGGAUCAAAAGAUUUAACUAGUACCACGGUGUUAUCUCGGCAUUUUGCAAUGCUCUGACGCAUGUCAACUGGUAAUCAUCAUAAGGAAAACACGAGCCAUGGCACAUGAACCAGGGUCGUACAAAAUUAAAACUAGUUGUUAUUAACUCAAGAUAUAUGGAAUGAUACUAAGAUGGAGAAGGUGGCAACAUUAUUUCAUUUCAUCCAUAAUCACACAAGUGCUUGCUUGAUGGCCCCUCUACUACUACUAGCUCAAGGUCUGAAGAAUGAUCGCGGACGGGGACGAGCCGGAGCCGCGGCGGCGCCACCGAAGGAGGUGUCUUUGAGGUGGUCAGGGGCGCUCUCGUAGGAGUGCCUCCUCGCCAGCGAGAGGAUGGUCUUGUCGGCGGCGACGAAGUAUGCCAUCCCGGCGACGGUGCAGACGAUGAGCGCCUGGCCGGUGGGGUUGAGGUUCGCCUUGGCCCACGGCAGCAUCCUCACGCUCGCCAGCUGCGUGAUUAAUAGUAGUUCAGUUAUGGAAACCACAGUCCAACGUGCAUGGAAAUCAACAACAAUUCCUGGACGGAGGAGCUCACCGUGGGGACUGCCGACGCGACCGUGGCGACGGCCGCAGCCUUUGCUCCGGCGAACGUUGCCUCUAGGAAAGAUUAAAAGAAAAAAAAGAAUGAACCGCUAGUAUCAGACUAUCAGCACACAACUGAGCUCUGAAGAAGUGCAUCCUGGUCAGUGGUUACUACCUCUGGAGCAGCGUUUGGCGAGGGCGAGCUUGUGGUCGAGGGACGCGCGGGUGACGGUGGCCGCCGACGACGACAUCUUCACCGUGAUAUUGUACAGAAACGGCUGAGUGCGAUCGAGUGAGAUGGUGUGGGCUGGCUGGUUCGUUGUUGCUCGAUGCAUCCAGACGAGGAGCUAGCCGUGUAUUUAUAGCGAGCAAAAAGGUUGCCGCCAUGCACGGUUUUGGGUGCAAACCGUGGGUACUCUGCUAUGAUCCGCUCAUUUGGACUUUAGAGUACACAACUGAGUUGGUGGGCGGAGCACCGCACGCUAUCUAAAAACUAUGGCAGCAAUCCACAGGAUUUGAUGAUGCUUGUUUGUUAGAGGUAUAUAUCCUCCAUGGCUCAAUCGCCUUUCUUUCUUUACCCACCAAAGCUGGUGAAAAAAGAGAGAUCUAAAGUUAGGCACAACAGUGCUGAUCUGAGCACAAUACUACGUAGAUAAUUGCUACCGGACGCAUUUGUUCUUUGUAAGAUAAGAUAACAAAUAUGAAACGGAGCAGGUGCCUCCGGGUCCACUCGUCAUCGUCGGUCCGUCGGUCGGCGAGCGGCGCUCCCAGUUUUCCGGCGAAACCGGCGGCAUGUGCUCCCCGGCCGGACUAGCUCUUCAUGCGUGAGCUGCUUUGGCAUUUCUCCACAUUUUUCUCCAGUCUGCGGCCCACCCAUAUUGCAUACAACAUUUAUUCUUCAGGUUCGUUGCACAAGAUACAGUCUGUUGGUGUAACCUGUUGUUGCUGCAAUCUCCAAUUCAUUGUUUUUUUUAAUAAUCUAAUUCAUUGUUUCAUUGUACGUUGACAUGAUUCCCAAUGAUUUGAUCCCGCUUGUAAGUGCAUACAAUGACAUCAACCAGCCAAUAAGAACUACCUCGUAGGUUUAGUUGCUCAUUAUUAUACAAUUACGACAUGGCAGUUUUAGUCAUUCAUUACCAUUUUUUGUUUAAAACUUGACAUUUAAAAAUGGCCUUUUAAAUUUGUGUCCCUAACUUGAAUCCAUAAUUCAGAUUUGCCCUAAUUUCAAAGCAUAUGCUCAAAUUUACACCUCUGCCGUUAUGUGUCCUUACAAAAAUAUCCUUCUGUACCAUAUUUUUAAUUGACAAAUUAUAGAGACUAUUUUGUCAUAUGGUAUUAUUAAAGAAGUUUUUUUUCUGUGGGUCAACGCACCAUAGUUUUGAACCUUACGUAGUGACGGAGCCAGUAUUUGGAUGUGGCCGUGGAUAGGGGGGCCAAAUACUUACAUACUAUGACAUAUCAAUCAAAUAUACACUAGGUACUUCAGAUUUUAUCGACCGUUAGGGGGAGCCAGGCCCCUGCUCGCCCCCUUGUCUCCGCCCCUGACCUUACGCGUAGAUAUGGAUAUACUUUUAUCUAACGAACGAUUAAGAAAGUGUUAAAGUAUUCCGGCCUCUGGUGACAAACACUUCGAACCUACACAUGACGGCUUUAUGAGUCUCUAGUGAUAAACACCUCAAACCUACACAUGACGACUUUAAUUAUGAGCCUUUGCUGACAAGCACCUCAAACAUGCACAUACGGCUUUACGAAUACAAAAAACUCAUGUUUUUUUAAUUAUUACAUGUUUUCCGACGAUAUACGAUCAAUGGGAGUAGGCAUUCUGGUCGACUAUGAUGACGCAUGUAGCAACUUCGACAAUUUUAAGAUAAUGUACCGGCUCAACCUAUCAAAGAUGCUCGCAAAGAUAGUAUGUGAGUGUGUACAUGUAAGUAUACGUGUGUAUAUACAAGUGUCUGCGCCUAUACUAUGUAUUGUGUUAAAUAACAAUACAUAAAGAUUGUUACGGUUUUCAAAAUAAAAGAAAAACACACGCUUCAAAACGUCAUUGUCUGUACUGUCUAUUAUGUUAAAUAACAAUACAUAAAGCUUGUUACGGUAUUCAAAAUAAAAAAGAACACUUGUUUCAAAACGGCCAAAUUUUUCAUUUUUAAACCCAUCCCUAUUUGUCAACCCAUCCAAUAAGCCGUAUCAAAAGAUUUAACGAGCGAGGUUAGAUGGCUUUGUCCUCACAUGCAUUCCGAAACAGAAUAGGGGCGGAAAAGGGAUCAAAAAAUGUACUUGUGGUGUGGUGUCAUUUCGGCGUUUUGCAAUGCUCCGAAGUACUUAGUACGCAUGCUAAAUGGUAAUCUUCGCAAACAAGAAAAAUAUUAGAUGAGUGAGGGCACUUGAACCAGAGAUGUACGAAAUUAAAACUACUCCCUUCGUUCCUAAAUAUAAGUCUUUCUAGAGGUUUCACUAACGGACAACAUACGGAUGCAUAUAGACAUACUUUAAAGUGUAGAAUCACUCAUUUUAAUUUGUAUGUAAAUCUCUAAUGAAAUUUCUUAGAAGACUUAUAUUUAGAAACAGAGGGAGUUGUUGUUAUUAACUAAAGAUCUCUGGAAAGAUACUAAGAUGGAGAAGUUGGCAACAUUAUUUCAUUUCAUACAUGAUCAGAUAACUAGUGCUUUGCUCGCAGUAAACAUCGCACUGGGCCAGAUCGCCCCAACAUUAUACUACUACUACGGGGCGGCGUACAGAGGUUGCUGCGCACUAGUUGAUCUACAACAUAAUUAGUGGUAGGAGGUCUUCUUGAGGUGCUCCGGCGCGUCCUGGAAGGAAUGCUUCCUGGCCAUGGAGAGGAUGGUCUUGUCGGCGACGAUGAAGUAGGCCAUCCCGGCGACGGUGGAGAUGAUGAGCGCCUGACCGGCGGGGUUCAGGUGCGCCUUGGCCCACGGAAGCAUCCUCACACUCGCCAGCUGCAGAAAAAGGCACGCAAGAAGAAGACGGUGAGAUGAUUAUUCGUUCGACGUCAAAAACUCAGUGGUGCAGGCUGAUAAACGUGUGCUUACGGUGGGCACUGCGGCGGCGACGGUGGCGACGGCCGCGGCCUUGGCUCCNNNNNNNNNNGUUUGGGAUCAACGUACGACUGUUAACCAAGUUCAGGUUUCAGCAGAAACAUAAGCCGCCGCAAUGAAUAGCAUUGCUGGGCUAAGGCUGGAAUCAGUCGUGGGCGCUUGGCGGCGGCGAGCCUCUGGUCGAGGUAGGGACGGGUCACCGUCGACAUGUUCACGGGCGGAGAGCUUGAUGUUGGCGACACGAGAUCGGAAGGAAGUGAACUAGUAGUGGCAGUAGCCCAGUAAUUCUGCGAGAUCGCCGACGGGCUAAGAUGAGUAGCAGUGUGAGCGAUAUGAGAUGAGAUGGGCAGAGCGAGAAUUUACAGGUUGCCGGGCAACCAGCGUGCGGCCGGGUUGACACUUGAUACGGUGGGAAGCAAGCCAGACCGUGUUUUUGAUACCGAGGGCCCGUUUGGUUUCAAAUAAGUCACCAACUUAUAAGUUGAAAAGUACAAAAAGUAGUUUAUUUUGCCAAACAGACCUAACUUAUAAAUCACCCCAACUUAUAAGUCAUAAGUUGCUUCACCCCCACUUAAACCUUAUAAGUCACCCACUUUUGCAUGGUCAGGUGACUUAUAAGUCAGAUGACAACCAAACAUGCGUGAUUUAUAAGUCACUGGUUUUAAGUCACCUGAUUUAAAAGUCACUGGCCCUGUUUGGUUUCAAUAAGUCAGGUGACUUAUAAGUCAGAUGACUCAUCUGACUUAUAAGGUCUGACUUAUAAGUGACCUUUAAGUCAGAUGACUCAUCUGACUUAUAAGUCACCUUUUCAUGCAAAAGUGGGUGACUUAUAAGUUUUAAGUUGGGGUGGAGCAACUUAUGACUUAUAAGUUGGGAUGACUUAUAAGUUGGGUCUGUUUGACAAAAUAAGUCACUUUUGCAUUUUUAAACUUAUAAGUUGGUAUUUGAAACCAAAUAAGGGCUAAGUCAUCUGAUUUAUUGAAAUCAAACAGGGCCCGAUACCGGCGGGCUGUGCGGAGGUUGAUAAAAUCCAUCAGGAUUGGCACGGAGCGUGUUCGUGUGUAGGAUAACAUAUAAGAGCAUGUGCGUGAGUGCAGUGUCACUCAGCGUGCACUCAAUUUUGUUGGCGAGUUGUCUGGGCGGGCGCUCCCAGUUUACGGCCAACCCGUCGGCGAUCCAAUUCUGCGAGCGGCUCGGUGCAGGGCAGAUCCUUUGAACAUUACCAUAUGCCGUAUAUCUAUGCGCGUAGAUAAAGUUGGUCACCCUUUUUGUCGGAGAUAAAGUCGAUCACCAGUUCAAAUAAUAUACUGCUCCCCCCCAUAAAAAAUAAGUGGAGCAUCGCGGUUUACAUCGAAUUGAUCGUAGGGAAUACUAGAAUCUUUAAUAAUCUACAACGGUGAAGACGCAUAGAAUUAACAGUUUUGCUGAAACUCAGCUAGCUGAGUUUUAAGUAUGGUCAUAGUCACUUUAUGUUUCUCUGGUUGUCUCGCUAGAUUCACCCUGUCUUUUGUUAAUUGCGGGAGCCAUGAUGGACGGCUCGUCUCGUAGGAGGAUCAGCCAUGUGCAUGAGUUUUCUCCAGGCCUUUUUGCUUAUUUAAACGAGCUGAGUUUUGUGAGUCUUUUCUUUAUUAACCGACGUAAAGAAAGAUGGGGUCUAAAGAUGCCACGCUGCUAGCUUUGUGCAUGUUUUGUCAUUUGUUCACUAUAGCUUCUAGGGGUAAUAAGUUCUUUCUUUUUUUCUUUUUCUUUUUUGCGGGUGAGGGCUAAGCUCAUUUUAAUUUCUUUUUCUUUUUAUCUUCUUCUCAUGAUGUAUCGUUGUAUUUUUUUUCUUCUGUUUUUCUUUCUUAUUUCACUAUAUAGAGUAGACAAUUGUUUCCCUAUUUUCUCUUUUUCUUGACUUUAGUAUAUUUACUUUGCUUUAGAAUAAAAUUCAUUUGUUACUGGAUAUUUCAAAUUGAUUGUUUAGGUUUUUAGUUUUGCAAAAAAUGUCUCUUAUUUUAUUUUUUUAAAAUACCCAUGUGAACACAAUAAUGAACUUGAGAUUGGAAAAAAGGGGCCGCAACUCUGCUCAGGAGGGGGAGUUGUCGGGGUCACUUGCAUGUUCACCACUAGACGUGCAACUGCAAAUGUUAUGACCUGAAUGCAACUGGAAGUUUCCAUGAGGGCCCGUAACUGCAUGUUUUUAAGACGGGGUCGCAACUGCACAUUUUCAGGAUGAGUUGCAACUGCAUGUUUUUAAGACGGGGUCGUAACUGCAUGUUUACAAGGUGGGCCGCAAUUGCAUGUGUUUUUUAAGAGGGGUCGCAACUGCAUGUUUUUAAGAUGAGUCGCAAUUGCAUGUUUUUAAGAUGGGUCCUAAUUGUAUACCCUCGAUGGGGGUUGUCGCAAUUGCACGCCUUCCAUGGGUUUGAUGUAAUUGCAUGCCUUCAACGGGGUUGCUGCAAUUGCAUGUAUUUUUGAUGGGGGUUGCAAUUACAUGCCUUCCAAGGUUUUGCCGCAUUUGCACGUCUUAUAGGGGUUGUCGCAAUUGCAUGCAUACGACGGAGCCAGUGCAAUUUUGUACCUUCGAUGGGGGGUUGUCGCAACUGGAUGCGUUCCACGUGGUUGUCAACUGCACACCUUCCACGAUUUUUGGUGUAAUUGCAUGCCUUCCACUAGGUUGCUGCAACUGCAUGCCUUCGAUGGGGUUGUUCCAACUGCAUCUGCUCCACGUGUUUUGUUCCAACUGUAUGUGCAAAUGCAUGCCUCCAAAGGAGUUUGUUGGAAUUGCAUGUCGUCGAGGCAUUUUGUUGCAACUGUAUGCCCGUAAGGGUUUUGGGCCAAGUAUAUGUCGAAAAUGGAGAAGUGCAAUAUAACAAACACCUUUGGUUAUAUAUAUGAUGUAAUGCGCUUUUUGUGCGAAUACUGGUGUUUUGAAUGUGUUUUGAAUAUGAUUUAUGCUAAUACCUUUAACGGGGUUGCUGCAAUUGCAUGCGUGCAACAGGGUCGCCGCAACUGCAUGCGUGCAACGGUGUCGCCGCAAUUCGCAUGCCUCCCAACUGAUGUUGUUUGUUGUUGAUGUUGAUGUGACCGCGUGCCUGCCGUAACUGCAUGCCCUCCCAUGUGUUUUUUGCCGCAAUUGCAUGCCUUCCAAUUGAUGUUGUUUGUUGUUCUUGAUGAUGUGACCGCGUGCCCGCUGUAACUGCAUGCCCUCCCAUGUGUUUUUUUCCGCAACUACAUGCCUUCNNNNNNNNNNGUCACUGCAACUGCAUGCCUGCAACGGGGUCGCCGCAACUGCAUGGCUUCGAUGGGGUUUGCUGCAAUUGCAUGCCUUCCAAUUGAUGUUGUUUGUUGUUGUUGUUGAUGUGACCGCGUGCCCGCCGUAACUACAUGUCCUCCCAUAUUUUUUUCCGCAACUACAUGCCUUCAACGGGGAUCGCCGCAAUUGCAUGUCUGCAACGGGGUCGCCGCAACUGCAUGUCUUCGAUGGGGUUUGCCGCAAUUGCAUGCCUUUCAAUGGAUGUUGUUUGUUGUUCUUGAUGAUGUGACCGCGUGCCUGCUGUAACUGUAUGCCCUCCCAUGUGUUUUUUUCCGCAACUACAUGCCUUCAGCGGGGGUCACCGCAAGUGCAUGCCUGCAACGGGGUCGCCGCAACUGCAUGGCUUCGAUGGGGUUUGCCGCAAUUGCAUGCCCUCCAAUUGAUGUUGUUUGUUGUUGUUGUUGAUGUGACCGCGUGCCCGCCGUAACUGCAUGCCCUCCCAUGUGUUUUUUUCCGCAACUACAUGCCUUCAACAGGGAUCGCCCCAAUUGCCUGUCUGCAACGGGGUCGCCGCAACUGCAUGGCUUCGAUGGGGUUUGCCGCAAUUGCACGCCUUCCAAUUGAUGUUGUUUGUUGUUGUUGAUGAUGUGACCGCGUGCCCGCCGUAACUGCAUGCCCUCCCAUGUGUUUUNNNNNNNNNNAUCAUCGCAAUUGCAUGUCUGCAAUUGGGUCGCCGCAACUGCAUGUCUUUGAUGGGGUUUACCGCAAUUGCAUGCCUUUCAAUGGGGUUUGCCGCAACUGCAUAGCUUCGAUGGGGUUUGCCGCAAAAAAACAUAAAGGGUUCAUGAGGUUUUUGCAUUUCUUAUUUUUUUCCCUAGCAUGCAGUCGGGUCAUAAGAACAAAUUGAGCAAAUAUGGAUAGCGAAUAAACCUUGCUUCAGAAAUAGAAAAACGAAAAAAUAGGAAGGCGGCAAGUGUUACCUUGGGUGUUGUAGUUAGUGAUACUUGACAGAUCAAUCUGGGUUGGUUCUUUUGAUUUUCUCAAUUUGUUCGUCUAUCUCAAUACGCAAGUACAAGUUUGAAGUCGGGUCGUAACUACAAGUUUCAUAGUCGGGUCACAACUCUGAAUUUUCAUAGUGGAGUCACAACAACAAACUCCAUCAUUUAGAAAGAUGAUGAUUUUUCAAUAAAAAAAAUAAAAAAACAUGAGACAAGACCGGGAUUGAUCCUGUGCGCCAGAGGCAUCAUGCUGGUGACUACUGCUGAACUAAAUCAAAACUAAAAAAAGCAAAAACACUCGUUUUUAGGACAGCAAAGAGAACACUCCAUAAAUGUGUUAUGGCAACUAAAAUUAUGUUGUACAUGCCAGCCGAGUAAGACGUAUAUACUUUUCUUAUGGGUUAGUAUGUUUGCUCUAGCCAUCGGCGACAAGAGUAGUAAAAAGGCCAAGCCUGAAAAAGCAAUACGGCAUGUGGAAAUCAUGGGGAGAAUAAAAAAAAGCCAACCAACAUAUAUGAUGAUGUCAUGUGAAUGAGACCAUAGAUAAAUCUUAGCUAGCUGAGUUCUAGGUGCUCCCUAGAAUUAACUAGCAGGUAGUGCGCGGCGGCACGCCGCGCCACAUGAAUUGAAAAAAUAUUUAGUUCUUUUACAUAAUAUUUAAUAAAUCGUCUUAAAAUUUGAUUCGUGGUAAAGUAGUCGAUAAAUGAAAAGGAUAUGUCUAGUUGGAUCUACAAAGUUCUUGUUCUUUCCUUGGACCUAGGAUAUUGAUCCUCUAGCUGAGUCGAUGUACUGGUUUUUUUUAGAAAAGGAGGAUGACCCCCGGCAUCUGCAUCUGGAAGAUGAAUGCGGUCAUUUUAUUGAUUAUUUUCGAGAACCUUACAAAACAGUACAACAAUAUGCCUGAAUCCGUCAUCUUUGCAACAUUUGUCGCUACUCCUAUCCAUAUGAUGAAGGGGUGCAAGCUGGACCAAAUACCCAUACCUCUCACCUAAGCCUAACUUCUAAAGCCGGAGACCCUGACCGGGCCACAUACCGGAUCCGGGGCACAAACCGGUCUGACACACUCACAUGUGUCAUCACCGCCAUCUUCCAUUGGUCCAUCUUCAUAUCAGAUUGAGGUACCAGCCUUGGCAGGUGUCUCCGCCAUCGACGCCACCAUGACGCCAAACGACAACCUCCACCUACGCGAGUCCAUCUCCAAGCAACGGACGGAGAUCCAUGCUAGGAUAGGGCCGCACCACCGCCGUUGCCCACCACCCACAAGCGCCACCCAGCCCCAAGAUUCCCAAAGAGGCGCCUUCAAGAAGGGAACGACGUUGUGAGCGCCGCCGCCGCCCAACAAAGUUAAGGCUUUCGCCCGGAAGACCUAGGGAAAGGGGAAGUGAGGGGAUCAGUCCAUACCGACGCCUCCAAGGAGGGGAACGGCCCCCUCAGGCGUCGCCGUCGACGCGGCCGGCCAUGGCCGACCAGGGAUUUCGCCCGAACUAGAUCCCCACCACCAGCAGCACCUCCUGUACAAAACCGACAAUCCAAGGAAGCGCGGCCUGACCAGGCUGGCCCGCACGCCGAGCAGGGGAGGAGGGGAGGCGCCAGAUCGCGCGCACCGACCACCGCAAAAGCUGCCGCCAGACGCCAACGACCACCGGGUCCCGUCGCCUGCGCGGCCGAGACGCCGGAUCCACCUCCCGCACGGCUGCUAGCCUGUCGUGCCUCGCCAAUGUAGCCGUCGCUCCAGAUCCGGGACUCCGCAUGCAGAGGCAGGGCAGCCUAGGCCCCGCCGCCACCAUCCUUGGCGUCCCGAGCUUGCCCGGCGGCUGCCUCAGGCGGCGGCGAGGAAGGGAGGGGGAGGGGGAGGCGGCUNNNNNNNNNNNNNNNNNNNNNNNNNNNNNNNNNNNNNNNNNNNNNNNNNNNNNNNNNNNNNNNNNNNNNNNNNNNNNNNNNNNNNNNNNNNNNNNNNNNNUUACAUAAAAGGUUUAAUACAUUAUUACAUUAUUGCACCAAUAUUCCUAUCUAUUAUUUCUGUUUUCUUCUGGGUCGUAGCCAUGGAGAAUCUUCAUCAUUCAGUAGGAUGCUUGGGUCAGUUUUCACUUUGAAGGGCGGAAUUUCAUGAAACUUAUUAUAAUCUUCUGACAUGUCUGUCUUGUCAUCUACUCCCACGAUGUUUCUUUUCCCUGAAAGAACUAUGUGGCGUUUUGGCUCAUCGGAUGAUAUCUUCUUUUGCUGAUUUCUUUUUCUCGUUAAUGUAGACAUGUCUUUCACAUAGAAAACCUGAGCGACAUCAUUGGCUAGGAUAAAUGGUUCGUCCAUGUAUGCAAGAUUGUUAAGAUCCACUGUUGUCAUGCCGUACUUUUGGUCUACAACUAACCCGCCUCCUGUCAGCUUCACCCAUUUGCACCGAAAUAAAGGGAUCAUAAAAGUAGGUCCAUAGUCAAGUUCCCAUAUCUCCUCUAUGUACCCGUAAUAUGUUUCCAAACAGUGCCCAUUCUCGUCUGUUGCAUCAAAGCGGACACCACUAUUUUGGUUGGUGCUCUUUUUAUCUUGGGCAACCGNNNNNNNNNNNNNNNNNNNNNNNNNNNNNNNNNNNNNNNNNNNNNNNNNNNNNNNNNNNNNNNNNNNNNNNNNNNNNNNNNNNNNNNNNNNNNNNNNNNNUUGUAAUGGAGCUUCGCCGGAGCAUCGGUGCUGUGUUGGAGCUCCACCGGCUGCAAUGGAGUUUUUCGAAGUUGCAAUGGAGCUCGUCGGACGCUGUCGGUGCUGCAUUGGAGCACCAUGCGGCCUCUGUUCCAUGUCGGGAAUUUAAUCUGACGAUGAGGGCUCGUUCAAUCGGACGGCUACCUAGGAGGAUUACGACUGGUACAAAUAGCAGCCGCCUUUGGAAAAUGGUCACAACUCGUGUCCGAAAAAAUAUUACUUAAAGCAUCUACAAAGGCAACUUGUAAAUUCGUUCUAUCAAAUGUAUGCAGACACGCCUAAACUUAGAUGUACUGUUCCUUCAUUUUAAAAUAUGUCUUUUUAAAAGAUUUCAAUGAAAACUACAUGUGGAUGUAGAUAGUAGAGUGUAGAUUUAUUUAUUUUGCUUCACAUGUAAUUUAUAUUAAAAUCUGUAAAAAAGACUUAUAGUAUUUAGGAACGAAGAAAGUAAUCGGUUAGCCCGACAUAAAGUUGUUAAUAAUAUACUCCCUUCGUCUAAAAAAUAAGUGACUCAACUUUACACUAACUUUAGUAUAUAAAUUAAAUUAUUUUUGAGUCAUUUGUUUUAAAACGAAAGGAGUAAUACUCAUCUACUCUCUCCGUAAACUAAUAUAAGAGUGUUUAGAUUACUAUUUUAAUUAUCUAAAUACUCUUAUACUUCAUCCGUCUUAAAAUUCUUGUCUUAGCUUUUAUCUAGAAAUGAAUGUAUCUAANNNNNNNNNNNNNNNNNNNNNNNNNNNNNNNNNNNNNNNNNNNNNNNNNNNNNNNNNNNNNNNNNNNNNNNNNNNNNNNNNNNNNNNNNNNNNNNNNNNNNNNNNNNNNNNNNNNNNNNNNNNNNNNNNNNNNNNNNNNNNNNNNNNNNNNNNNNNNNNNNNNNNNNNNNNNNNNNNNNNNNNNNNNNNNNNNNNNNNNNNNNNNNNNNNNNNNNNNNNNNNNNNNNUAUAUCUUGUAAGAAAUUAGUAUAUCUUUGGUGAGGAAAUUGGAACACAAGGUUGCAUGCAACGUGCCUGGCUGGCUGGACGGGAGAAGACAGAAGAGCUCUGUAACAAGAGAAGAAAGAAGAGAAGCAAGGAAGGUGGCUCUUGUUACCGGCGAUCAGUGGCCGGUCCAACUCCAUGGCCGGAGCUUCCGCCGGCGGCUUCGUCGGCCUCGGACUCCACCCACCACCGGUGCCUGUGCCGGUGCGACCGCGCGUCCGAGAGAGAGAGAGAGANNNNNNNNNNNNNNNNNNNNNNNNNNNNNNNNNNNNNNNNNNNNNNNNNNNNNNNNNNNNNNNNNNNNNNNNNNNNNNNNNNNNNNNNNNNNNNNNNNNNNNNNNNNNNNNAGAGAGAGAGAGAGAGGGACCGUGCUUAUAUAUAUGUAUGUAGGAGAUGAAGCGAGACUCAGUCAAGCAGUCUCUCCCCUCGAUGGGACUGCUACAGAUCGAAACCGCGUGCGGUGGGCAGGUGGAAGGGGGAGCUGACCGCAGUCCGCAGGUCAUCGCCUGACCACUGUUUUGUACCACCACUAACAUAACACUGUAAACCAGCGUUGCUCUCUCGGCUUUAUUGCACAACAGCAAGUUGCCAUCGCGUCAUCUAAGUGAGCUCGACCAAGCCGGCGUCGUGGCAGAAUCCGGUGCUCGCUUGACCGGACCCGCUCCCCGCGCGCGCGUGCCUUUCCUCCCAGUAGCUCGUAUUUGACCCGCUCCUAAUGAUCGUUUCUCUCUCUCUCUCNNNNNNNNNNNNNNNNNNNNNNNNNNNNNNNNNNNNNNNNNNNNNNNNNNNNNNNNNNNNNNNNNNNNNNNNNNNNNNNNNNNNNNNNNNNNNNNNNNNNNNNNNNNNNNNNNNUCUCUCUCUCUCUCCCUUUUGAUUUCUUUUUUCUGCGGUAGCAUGCAUGACAAUCCGUCCUGCCGUAGGCAGAAUAUAUUCGUGGACGCACUCCACGCACGUGGCAAAUACUACUCCCUUCGUUCUUAAAUAUAAAACAUUUUAAAAAUCUCACUAUAAACUACAUGCAUACGGAGUAAAAUGAACGAUAUAUAUCCGUUUGCAGUUUCUAAUGAAAUUUCUAAAAGGUAUUAAUAUUUAGGAACGGAGGGANNNNNNNNNNNNNNNNNNNNNNNNNNNNNNNNNNNNNNNNNNNNNNNNNNNNNNNNNNNNNNNNNNNNNNNNNNNNNNNNNNNNNNNNNNNNNNNNNNNNAGGUGCUACCUUCCGGGCGCGCAUCUUGGUGAAGAACUAGGUUCCCGUCGUCGACCGAGAACUUCUUUGGUGGCGGUCACAUGGACGACUUUAGGUGCGGAGGCAGCCGGCCCCCGAGGAGGAGGUACAUCGCCGUGUCAGGGAGGAGGACGAACACGUCCAUCGCUACAUUGAGGCGUUUGGCGUCAGGUUCUCUGAUACCUGGCAGGUUCUUCAGGGAUCUCACCCGAGCUAUGAUCCUCUGAUGGUUCCUUCUCUUUGGGUGUCCAUCGUCCGCGCCUCAGUACAUCGAUAGCUCUUUGGGUGGUCUGUUUAAUAAUAUUCGAGAUAUGUAUUAGUGAUAAUACUCGAGAUGUAUUCGACAAAAUAUUCUGUGAUGCAUUAAGUGGAUUAUUUGAUGUAUUACUGAUAUUAUAUAUGAUGAUCUUGCUAGCUAAAGUGAAUACUAGAUUGUUUUAUCUUUCUUCUUGAUUAGUUAAGCUAUGGACGGUAGAGACAGAGACCAUGAUCAAGAGUAUGUCUUGUUCGACAUGAUAUGCUCCGGAAACAAAAAGAAUUAAGAAGCAGAUGAUGGCUCACAAUAUCUUAACCUAUCCAGUGAGGGAAUAGAGGAAGAACAACCAAGAGACGAAGGGGAACCUGACAAUGUAUUAAUUGAUUUACACACACACACACACNUAUAUAUAUAUAUAUUAACGAAUCUCUUCUUUUAGCCCUCCGGAUCGAGCAAACCUUCUACAAGAAGGGCAAUACGAGGCCCGGCCAAAAAGUUGCCCGAGGGCACAAGGUACAACAUCGACGAGAUAACAUUAGGGGGUGAACCAAAUGCCCCCAAAAAGAAUAUGGACAAAUUUGUUCGUCAAUGCAGAGUUAUUGUUAGGGACCAAAUCCCGAUCUCCAUUCAACCAACCGGUCUUGAGAUUAAGGUAGUCAGUCUAAACACCUCAUUAUCGACGGAAACGAAUAUUCUGUUGGAUCUGUAUGCAAGAAGGAAACACAGUUGGAUUGGGAGGCAGGGAAAACAACAUCUUCUGUAGUACAUAGAUUUAUUUCAUAGACACCUUUGCAUCGGAUCGGUAGGAGAUUGACGGUAGUGCAGAGUAGGAGAUGGGGAUUACCUUCUCCCUGGCUCGAAGAGCUCGCCCCAGAGGCCAUGGUAGUGGGGCGUCGGUGAUGACGACUGAGAACGAUGUGGUGGCGGUGGUGCUUCCCGUGAGCACUACGCUAGUCCUAGUUUGGAAGGGUUUGUCGGUGGGGUGUGUGGUGGCGGCGAAUCUCAUAGUCCGUGCCCCAGCCCCCCACCUCUGUUAAUAUAGCGCGGAUCACAGGGGCCCACCAACCAUAAUGGGUGUGGCGCCCCCGAUCAGGGCNNNNNNNNNNNNNNNNNNNNNNNNNNNNNNNNNNNNNNNNNNNNNNNNNNNNNNNNNNNNNNNNNNNNNNNNNNNNNNNNNNNNNNNNNNNNNNNNNNNNGUGCGCGUAGGAAAAAUUUUGUUUCCCAUGCGACGUUCCCCAACAGAAAUAAGUACCAGUACCUGAGAUUUUGAUGGUCUCUAGGAAUGUGAAAAUUAGAUACUUGUGACUGCUAUAAAGUCUAUGUUAGNNNNNNNNNNNNNNNNNNNNNNNNNNNNNNNNNNNNNNNNNNNNNNNNNNNNNNNNNNNNNNNNNNNNNNNNNNNNNNNNNNNNNNNNNNNNNNNNNNNNNNNNNNNNNNNNNNNNNNNNNNNNNNNNNNNNNNNNNNNNNNNNNNNNNCUAACAUAGACUUUAUGAAGGGUCUACAAGGCAAAUAUGACUCCAGAGGAAAUAUGUAAAUGUGUAAAACAUGACUUAAAUCGAAAUAUUUUGUGCAAAGAAAAUGAGAGGACAAUUGCAUUCUUGCAAAGUUAUAGAAUGGGAAAUUUGUUUCCCAAUUCCUAUGCAUGUGGAUGAUGUCCUACUUGCUAGUGGUGAUGUCAAUCUACUGCAGGAGGAGAAAAGAAGUUCUUGUCCUCAAAGUUCAAAAGAAUAAAAGGGGGUAUUAGGAAUGUUGCAUGGACAUGCUAAGAAAGAUCUCUAAAGUAUGCAUACGACAAAACCUACGCAUGUUCUUAUAGUCAAGGGUAAUGGAAGUGGAAACUAUGGUGUUCCAAAAGUUAAUAAGAAAAGAUUGUAAACGGAUAUGGUACCAUAUGCUUCAGUUGUUGGAAGCUCAAGAUAUUACCCUGACACUGUUCACGUAUAUAUCCGGGUUGUUUUGGCAAUGUCCAGUCCAUAGAUAAAUCAAUGGAAUGGAGUCAAAGAUAUCGGCCUCAUGCUAAAAGAAAUAAGUGCUCUCAAAAGAUUGUGAGUACAAAGGCAGGACUUGUGAAAUGAAUAGCGAAAUCAACAAUUGUCGCUAACUUUCAUACUCGGAGUUUUGUGUGGAAAAUCUCCAAAUGAGUGAAACGAUUGUCAUCAAUGUGAUGCAAUGAUAUGUUAUAACUUUAUAUGAGGCUGAGGGAUAGGCGAAAUGGUUAAUGGCUACAUAUACCCGGAAUUGAUAAUGGUUGACAACAACGAUAACUAUUUUAAAUUCUUUCGCUCCUGUCACAACGAGUCAAGUGUUGAUGCCAAACACACUGACAAAGAGUUAUGUGUUGUGAAGGAGAAAGUCCAGAAUUAUGAAAAAAUGCUUGAAGCAUAAAAGCAACAAACAAGUGUUUGCAGAUCUGCUUAUCAAAGGCUUACCGCCCCGUGUGUUCGGAGAACACACAGUCGACAUGGGUUUUAUGGUAUAGUCUAAUAUUUUCCGGACAAUAAAGGGCCCAAGGUUAAAGAAUCUGUCUCAAAAUAGAGAGGUACAUUAUGGAUGUCUGAUUCCAUCGGCAAUUGAGCCGUGACGAUGAAACAUGCCCUAUGUAUUGAUCUGUUACGAAACGGGUAAAAGUAUAUGAUGACAUCAAGGGGGAGAAUGUUAGAUUGAUCUCUUUCCUAAUGGGCCCAACGGCCCAUUGGACCUUGACUCACGCCCUGAUCAGGGGCGUCCAGCCCAAGCAAGGCUGGUGGGCCCUGUCGCGCAGUGUUGUAUAUAGAGGAGGUGGGGACCAUGGCACAGACUACAAGGUUCGCCGCCGCCACUGGUUCCCCACUCCUAACCCUAAUCCGAUCUAGAGGGAUGCACUAAAGCGAUGGGAAGUCCACCGCCGCCGCUACCGCAUCUCUCUCUGGUUCCCCACCGUCGCCACUACGUCACGACAGUCACCGAGGGAACUCAUCGAGCACGGGAUAAGGUAACAUACCACUACUCUCAUCGAACACAUCUAGACUUGUCGAUCCACGGGAUCUAUCAAACCGUGCAUACCCUUGAGCAUUAGCCAAGUUUAUAUCUACUUAAUUAUUGUGACAAAUAGAAGUGGAUAUUCAUUUGUGUCAGAUGGGGAGAAAAUAUAAAUAAUCUUUGUGUUCUUUUUCCUUUUUAGAAACAGGCAGGUAGUUAGUAUCUUGCCCGGAUACUAUGUAUACAGCCAGUAAAGAUCAACCAUAUAAUUUUCCUAUGUAUGGACUGAUACAAAAAUUAUUAAAAAAUAAGGUCUAGAUUUUAAACCCUAAACCGGUACAAUUAAUAGCACAGAUCCUUUAUCAUAUACUCCCUCUUUUCGGAAUUACUUGUCACACAAAUGUAUAAGAAUAGAUGUAUCUAAAACUAAAAUAUAUCUAGAUACAACCAUUUAUGUGACAAGUACUUCCGAAUGGAGGGAGUAUUGUAAGAAUCACAAUAAUAUAGAUAAUUUAACACCUUAGUCUUGUAUCACAGAUUCGACAGCAAAAGAAUUGUCAUUUACUAAAUGAAAAGCCUAACUGCAGUUAGCAGUAAGAGUGGGCAUCUAAACAAUUAUUAUACACACCUCUAACCUGAGAGUGCUUGGUUCACAGAAAGCCUUUUAUGUGUAUGCAAAUGUAAAUUUCUCCCAGGAAAACAUCAUUUGAGAGCAUAUCAAAGCAUACAUAUUAUGUACUAUCUGCAUAAGUGCAUAACCUGAUUUUGUUUGAAGAAAAUGAAAACCAUGAAUGACAAAUUGAAAAGCUCACGGUACCUAAGAAAUUAAUGAACAGGAAUUUGAUUUCCCCUCACACAUUAACACAAGCAUGGUACCAGCAGGUUAGAUCGAGGCACAAACGUCAACCAGGGAAGCACGUGAAAUAAAAGAGGAAGGGCACUACAAGAGAAAAAGAGUUAUAUCUAACGGGCGGACAGCCGGAGCUUCUUUGUAGCUCCCGUGGCCACAAUCUCGCAGCGGAGGCGCGCAACAUGUUGAUCCCGUGGCGGACCACGAGUGCACGGUAGCAGCAGGCCGCAACAGCUCCACGGCGAUCGAGCGCAUCCUGCAUUGAUGCUAGGGACGUCGUAUGCACGCGCGUUGCCGGUCACCAAAAAGGCGACGUUGGGCGGAAGCAAGGAGUGGCGGAGAGGAGAUGGGGAGAGGACGGUCAGGGGCGCCGCGCCCGUAGGUGAGGUGAGGUGAGGUGAGAGCCCGGCUGUGGAGCUCUUUACGAGUGACAUAUUGAUCUUUGAAUUUGGCAUAAUUUUUUAUGAGCACCCAACAAUGCGUGAGGAUGAGUGGCUUGUUCUUAUGUCGUGCCUUGAAAUCUUCAAAAGAUUAAAAUGCCUACACAACAUGAAUGGACACAAAAUGCCUACACAAUAAAAAGCAUGCCAACAUGAAUGGACACAAAAUNNNNNNNNNNNNNNNNNNNNNNNNNNNNNNNNNNNNNNNNNNNNNNNNNNNNNNNNNNNNNNNNNNNNNNNNNNNNNNNNNNNNNNNNNNNNNNNNNNNNNNNNNNNNNUGAAUGGACACAAAAUAAAAAUGUGAGAGGUACAUACCAAGUCACCAACGCCUAGGCCACUCAUGGGACCGGCUUGGACGCUCUCAAGCGCGGCACAAUACUUGUUGCAUCCUUGUUGAAUGAAUCCCCAUCACUUUUGGAUUAAGUUGAUGUUGCGAGUACUCACAAUUUGGUAGGGACAAACUUCCUUCGCUCAUGGAAGGUACCCCUUGUCCAAAAGAUGGAUGCCUUUUGCUCGGCACCUUUUAUUGGAUCUUCCCCUAUCUCAAUCCAACUCUCGCAAAUCAAUUUAUCCUUAUUUUGGGUGUAUGACCCCACGCAAAUGAUUUGCCUCCUCUUUUGUGCCUCGGCCAUUUGAGUGAGCUCAUCGAUAAACACCAAUGCCUCUUGCAAAAUGUGGACCUUGUCUUCCUCAUUUUCACAAUAUAACUCAUCAUCAAUAUGCCAUGAGUUGACAUGGUUGUCCUUCUCUUCAUCAUGGCCGACGAAUUUAGUGUCCUCAUAGUGGUCGCGGUCGUCCUGGCUCUACCUCUCGUUGGGACCGACAGCCUGGCCUUGACCCUCGUAGUGAAAGGCCUAACCACGGCCCUCGUAGAUGACGCUCUCNNNNNNNNNNNNNNNNNNNNNNNNNNNNNNNNNNNNNNNNNNNNNNNNNNNNNNNNNNNNNNNNNNNNNNNNNNNNNNNNNNNNNNNNNNNNNNNNNNNNNNNNNNNNNNNNNNNNNNNNNNNNNNNNNCGAGCAAUCACGAUAGUCGGUUGUGGGCGUCGGAAGUGGUAUUGUGUCGAACAACUUACGGGCGUCGGAUAUGGUUGCCAUCGGGAAUGACCGGGGCUGCUUACUGUGUGUCCCGCCAGUCGUCUGGCCAGCGCCACUUUACAUCUGUACCUCGGCAUCAUGUUUUAGGUCGAUGACCCCCGCGGACGUGGCGGGAGCAACCACGUUGUACUCCGGCGGCGUGGAGAACCAUGUCUGCCCAUGGCUGUCCGAAGGACGGCACCCUGGCGUCUCGGGUGUGGUGGAUCUGUACUGAGGAGGACGAGCGGCCGACGGUCCCAUGCUCGCCGUGGCCAUGGCAGCGAUCGAGAGGAUGACUGACUGUAGUCCUCCCAACCCUAACAUGAGGAGGGUGUGCCCGUUGGAGAUGAUGGAUUCCUUGUUGUCAAUGUCGGCAAGAUGUUGCGCUUGACGCGGGGCGGCGGCCUCGACGACGUAGGCCGCAACCGCCAUCAUCUCUCCCACCUUUAAAUGCCAGUCCCUCCUCUUCGCCAAGUCGGCAUUGAGUUUGGCGAUGAUCGCCAACGUGAGCUCGGAGCGAGGCUUCCUGGGACCCUUGGGACCCUUUUCUUCGCCGUGAGGGGCGCGGCUGCUACCGCAUCGCCAGGGUUUAUUGCGUCGCCGUCCAUGAAGGAGGGAGGGGAAGGGACGCGCGAGAGAGUUUGAGCGAUAUGGAGAGAGAGUGGGAGGGGUGUGUCCCGGAUUGGCGUGCCAAAGGAGGACAAUGGCGCGCAUCAUGCCCGUCGGCGCGCUGUCUGUUUGACUGCAAACGCAACCCAAACUUGAACUCGAAAUGGGUUGAAAACUCCCGUGCGUUGGGCCGUGGUUUAUGCCUGUUUACAUCUAAACGAAUGCAGGCGGACGAGUUAACGUCGUGCCUUGUGGUUGCCUUAGAGCAACUCCAACCGGCCGACCCAAACGGACAGCGAUUUUGUUCGCUUUUCGUCCGUUUGGGUCAUCCAUCGGCUCCGUGUUCACCCGGGUUACGAUUUGAUUUGAGUCGGUAGCGUGUCCAAUGCGCCAACCCAUAUUUGUCCGUCUGGCCGGCUAGCGCCGGUUUUUGAACAAAUACGGAUAUUUUAUAUAUUUUGCAACAGCAAAUGAUAUAGCAUAGUUUCACAAUCAAAAAUAAAAUAUAGAAAAGUUUUUCAAACCCAAUAAAAGUUUAGAUUGUCUACAAAAUACAGCUAGUCAUUGCCAACAUCAUACCACAUAUGCUCAACCAAAUUAUCUUGCAACUGAAUAUGAGUUUCCAAAUUACGCAUUGCGUGAGGAAAUGGGAUGAACUGUGCAAACGAUGUCGCUUCUCCGCCAUGCUGAGGCACCACAAUGGGCGGCGGCGACGGCGAGGGGACUAGGACCGAGGCGAGGCGAGGGCUAGAUGCGGGUGGAAAACGACCAAUGUGCCACCGACUCGCGGGCCAGGGAAUGGUCGUAGUGUGCGUCGUCCGUGUCUGCUUUGUGUCCGCACCGAUUCAAAUCAGGCUCAAAAUUGGGUCGAAAAUGGAUCGGCAAGCGGAAAAAUGUGAACACGCGUCCGUUUAUGUCAGGGCGUUAGACCGUCUUUUAUAUCCGUGUGUAUCUAAAUGUACGGCGACGCAGGAAAUGUGUCGCUCUGUUGGAGUUGCUGUUAAAGAAAAACGGAGUAGGAGUGCAAUGACUUUCUUUUCUGAGCGAAGACAAGAUGUGUGAUAGUACAGUAAUGCUAGGCCUACGUAGCUAUAAUACAUAGACUAACCUAAUAGUUUAGGUGGCGUUUUUUAAUUUGAGAAAAUUAGGGAAGGGGCCCACCCAGUUGAAAUCAGGGCUGAAAGGAUUAGUAGUUAGUUAAGUUACGUAGUCUUAUGUAAAUUUUUAUGUAAGCGUAGCAUUUUUGCACGUGAAGCAGAGAGUUGUACAAAUGUUACUAGUAGCAGUUGUUUAUUCAAAAAUGCUAGACUUACGAAUUGUUUUACGUAAAGUUACGAACCUCUGGCAAGAUAAUAAGAUAAUACUCCUGAAGAUAAUACACGGCUACAUAAAUUAUUACUGCACAUCAUCAUCAGAUAAGUGCAUGAAGAAGAAGGAAGAAAACAAAAGAAAAAGUACAUGAAGGAGGAGAAGCGCACUACAUCAUUCGGCACUGCCCCUGUCACAGUGUCACUGAACACUAUACAGUCUAUCAUCAUUCAUUCACACAUUCAUCAGACACGUACGGCCGUCGAUCAGUUUAUUGCGCCCGCCCUAGCUAAUCACGGCGUCUAAUUAGUGGAAGGAGGUGUUCUUGAGGUGCUCCGGCGCGUCCUGGAAGGAGUGCUUUCUGGCCAGGGAGAGGAUGGUCUUGUCGGCGACGAUGAAGUAGGCCAUCCCCGCGACGGUGGAGAUGAUGAGCGCCUGCCCGGUCGGGUUCAGGUAUGCCUUGGCCCACGGCAGCAUCCUCACGCUCGCCAGCUGAAAUCAUGGAUAGCAGAUUCAUGAGACAUGCGAUCAACUAUGGAGCGCGCGAUCUCCUCCAACAACCAAAUGGCUAGCUUUCUGGAUACUUACUGUGGGCACUGCGGCUGCGACGGUGGCGACGGCCGCGGCCUUGGCUCCGGCCAUGGCAGCCUCUGCAGCACACACAUGUAACAUGUUAAUCGCAAUCAAGUUCCGACAGACACAGACAGCACAUAAAUAAGCCGCAAUGCAUAACGGAACCGGCCGUCGCUCGUUGGUUACCUACCUCUGGAGCAGCGCUUAGCUGCGGCGAGCCUCUGGUCGAGGUAGGCGCGGGUGACCGUCGACAUCUUCCUUCGC